This 46162-nucleotide long non-coding RNA is filed under the name Lathyrus oleraceus (garden pea). Its description in RNAcentral is "Pisum sativum (pea) long non-coding RNA (PSAT_LNC032370)". Lineage: Eukaryota; Viridiplantae; Streptophyta; Magnoliopsida; Fabales; Fabaceae. The record is from RNAcentral.
CCCUGCUCCACUCACACUCCACUCCCAACAAACUCUCCAACGUCUCUCUUUCCUCUCUGGCCAGCUCACUCUCUCUUUACUCAUUAAAAAACGCUCACACUAUUCACUCGGCUCUCUCUCUCAGAAAAAUCCACAAGGAUCCUCUCUCACUACCUCACACAAUCCCUCGCUCUCUCUCACACUCCAUCACUCAGAAAAACCCUUCAACGUCUCUCUCUCACAAACCGGCUUCACUCUCAGCUCAUAUCAUCUUCUUCCAUCACCCUUCGCAAACCCUACAAACAUUGCCGCCGUCACAAUCCAACCCUAAAUCCCAUAAGCCAAGCCUCCACCUUCUACCUCCACAAAACCCUCAUCAACCGAAAACCCACCGGAAAUCGCCCUUCGCUUCUACCGCCACGAGCUCAACACUCUCAUCUUCUUCAUAACCACCGGCGAAACCAUCGACCUCCAUCAUCCCGCAACCCCACCUUCAAAACGCUUAGAAAAUCCUCACCUCGCCGUUACCGUCCAAAACCCUAAACACCACCACCUCAAAUCGCGUCACCGCCAACACUUCGCUCGUCACCAUCGUCGCACCUCAAACCGCGACCUACAACCAUCAACUCUCACUCACAAAUCCGAAGCAACCACUCUCAACCUUCAUCAUCUCUCUCAAUCGCACAACCAUUCCAGCCACUAACCCAUUUAAACACUUCUCCGUUUCAUCCACCGACUCACAACUAAUCUUUCGCGAGUUGUUAUUGUUGGUUGCUGUUUAGAUAUUUAACCUAGUUUACAGGUUGACUUCUAUUUUGCAGAAGGAAAUCGUCCCGCCGAUUUCGGUAUCAAAGGGUCUAAGGGGAGAAGAUCGAAGCGGACCUAUGCGAGCUGGGGCCAAAGCUGCGGAUUGACUUGAAAAAACCAUCGCCGGCUUAGACUGUCAAAAGCCAGCAGCAACGACAAAUGCAUCAAUAGCUGGUAGUCUCGGAAAAGUCGUAUUUUGGUAACAAUCUCAAGUCCUCCUCAAACAUGACCAUGACUUAUUUUGGUUUGGCUUUAAUCAGGUAGUUUGUUUUUGGCUAGGCUGUUAUUGAAAGUUGGUGGUUGUAUCUGGAAAAGCUUUACUGUGUAUCUGUUGUUACUAUGGUUUCCAAUUCGUUAUUAUAGGAUAGCUACUUUAAUUUACAUGAUGUCUUGAAUGAGCUGUGUUUGUGUGCUGUUAUGAUUUCAUUUUCAAUUUUCAAAUUCAUUGAAAUCACGGGUUCCGGAAGCUAGCACGAUUAACCUGUUUUGUUGCGUUUGAUUUUCCUGGUUAUAUGUCUAUUACUUUAGGAAGUUGAUGUUGAGAGUCAAAUGUCUAAACUUAAUCUUCUCAUGUGCUGUUUAAUGUUAUUAUAAAUUAGGAAGUCAUACGACAUGUUCCUUCUUUAGGGGUGACGGUUCAAAUCCAGUUUUUGCAGCAAAAUGAGGGUUCAAACUUUUGAGGAUUUUUUGACUAUUUGUGUGGUUAGUUUUGCGACCAUUUGACUAGUGUUGGUUGAUUCAGGUUUAUAUGUUAAUUUAAUUCACCAAAGAUGUUAUUCUAAAAGAAUGGUUAUGAUACUGUUUCGUUUAGUCAAAUUAUUAGGUUGGUUCAACAUGGGUUUAAGAACUUUUCUUAUGAGAAAGAGCUUUGCUUUUUGCACUAAAGAAUUGGAUUACUGACAAUUUAUGUUAAUAGUAGGUGUGAAUAAAAUGAUGAAGGGGAGCGAUGGCCUCCUUGUGUUUUUUUUUUUUAUUUAAAAAUUUAAUAUGUUUAUUUUGUUUUGUUAAGAGAAUUAUUGGUUAUUGAGUUAGGAGAUAAUAAAUUCAAAGCCCAUUUCUCUUUGCCCCCUCCAUAUCACUUUGCACCUCCCAUGUGUUAUAAAUAAAAAACUUGUAAAUAAUUUGAGCUCUUGUUGAUUCGCCAUUAUAUCACAUUAUUAAUGACUAGAUUUACUUGUAUAUUAUUAGUUAGAUAUUUCAAUAGUUAUGAAGGUUCUAAAAAAAUAAUAAUAAACUUAAAGUGAUUUAUGAAAAUUACUUUUAUUUUCUAUUUUCUUAUAAUCAAUUUAAUAAAAUUCUAUUCAUUUGAAUUCAAUAAAUUACAAUCAUCCCUUUUCACAAAUCAAUUUUUCAAAUCAACAUAAUUUCUAAACCCAAAUCAAUUUUCAAAUCAUUUUCUUCAAACCAUUCAAUUUCAAAACCAUUUUCCAUUUUAAUCAUAAACUUGGGAUGAAAAGGAGAUAGGAAGCGUACGCUUCAUUAUUUCUCAAGCACUUGAACAAUUGGCGUACGCCAUAUUGCGUGAGUUCUUGUCACCCAAUUAAACUCAAAUCAAUUUUCAAAUCAUUCAAUUUCUAAAAAAAAAAGAAAGAAUUUUUAACAUAAAUUUGGGAUGAAAAGGAGAUAGGAAGCGUACGCUUCACUAUUUCUCAAGCACUUGAACAAUUGGCGUACGCCAUAUUGCGUGAGUUCUUGUCACCCGAUUAAACUUCAAAUCACAAUAUUUCAACACAUUUCUACAAAUUCCAAAUUCUUGUAAUUCCAUAUUUCAGAUGAAAAGAGGAUAGGAGGCGUACGCCUCACUAUCUUUCGAUUAUUCGAAUAAUUGGCGUACGCCACAUUGCUCGAAUCUUCGUCAUCAAAUCAAAACCACAAUCGAAUAAAUCCAAAACCUACCAAUUCAAAUACAAACUAUUUUCACAAAUCAAAUACGAUAUCUAAAAACAUAUCUUUCUUAAAUUAAACUUCGGAUGAUAAAAGAUGGGAGGCGUACGCCUCACCAUCUCUCGAUUAUUUGGAUAAUUGGCGUACGCCAUAUUGCACAAAUUAUCGACUUCCGACUAAAACACGUUAAAUAAAAUUGGAUAAGGGAAUAGGUGGCGUACGCCUCGUUAUUCCUUGAAUAAGCAAGUAGGAGGCGCACGCCUCACUACCGUGCAUAUUCAACAUCCACAAACAAACUUUCAAAAUAAUUCAAACGAAAAGGGAAUAGAAGGCGUUCGCCUUAUUAUUCCUCGAAAGAAUUGGACGAUUGGUGUACACCACAUUGCUCAACCUUUCGUCGUUCUCCAAAAACACCUUAACAAAUCAAAUCCAACUUCUCGCCCCCGAGCGAUCGAAACCAAUCAAACACCCAAACACAUCAAAUCAACUUGUCACCCCCGCGUGACCAAAACCUUUUCAAAAAGAACACUGUCAAUCCUUUCUAAUGCGCACAACAAACCAGUGCUAGAGCCUCCCCCGAGAGUAGACAUGCCAGCGUUUAGCCGUUAGAACGCCGACUUACACAGUCGUUCAUCAAAACACACACCUAAAUAUUCGUAGUGGCCCGAACUACGAUUGUCUCUGAUUUCCUUAUUGCACCAUAAGGAUACGUAGGCAGGAGAUUGCUGUAUCUUCGCGAGCACACUAAUAAAAAAACCUCCCAUUUCCCCCUCCUGAGGUCUUCAUCCAUAUCUAUCAUCAUUUCUAAUCACUCGAAGCAAGCAGAUAAACAGUCAAUUAACAGUCAAAUAGCAAAAUCAGACUAAGAGGUUCCCGUUGAGUACAACGGACGUAAGGGUGCUAAUACCUUCCCCUUGCGUAAUUGACUCCCGAACCCGAAUAUGGUUGCGACGACCAUUAUUCUUAUUUUUAAAGGUUUUCUCGAUAUUUUCCUAUUCCUUCAUUGGAAUAAAUAAAGUUCGGUGGCGACUCUGUUUUCGAACAAUUUUUUCCGCGUCCUAUCGCGAGGGAUCGCAUUAUCAUCAUUUUUGAGGUGCGACAGUCCCCACAAAUCUAAGGGAGAUCUUUCCCUAACGGAUUGUGGAUUUCACCAGCGCAUCAUUUGCACACAAUCAAAAGGCCACACCUGAUGCUAUAAAAGGAGGCGUCGAAUCAUUGGGAGAAAGGAGAUUUUCCGGCACCGUUACCCUGCCAAAACACACACCCAAACCCUUCAUUAAAAGUUCAUGCGAUUGAAAGCUACCCAGAUUUCCUCAUUGGAAAGUUGGGUUAGUUGAACUAAACCAACAUUCAAAACCCGUGUCGAGGAAUCUAGAACGUGGAGAACAGACGCAGAAACAAAGAAGAGAUAAAUACCUGAAGUCACUGCCUCCGCCAAAGCUUUCACCGGACUCCCGAGGUUCUUCGAGACAUCUUCGCCUUCGCUUCAAGAGUUCGUUCUUUUUGUUCCUUUGUUUCUAUUAUGUUGUAUGUUUAUUAUACCUAGAUAACUGUUGAUAUCUGCGCAUAUUAUGGUAGAUCUACGAACAUUUGAGGUUUGCUGCUCCGAGUUUGAUACAGGAUCUAGAUCCCACACCUCUAUUGGAACUCAUUAGUGAAGAUUGUUCAUAGAUUUGCAGUUGACUCUCUGGUUUCAGUGGACGAUCACCGACGGAUGUUCGUCAAGCUUUCUUGUUAAAUGUCGUUAGAUCCGUCGGCUUUUGGACUUUGUUGAGCUUGUUUGUGAGGUAAAGAAAGAGAGAGGCAUAUGCGUUCGUUCCGUUUCAGCCUUCAAGGAGAACCUUUAAAAAUCCUUGUUUUCUUAGCAUUUUAAUUAAAAUAAAAUUAUUUGGUAUUAAUAAGGAUGAGGUGUAUUUAAACCAGUGCGCUUCCAAGUGCUACCUUUUUGGUGUGAUUUGUUCAAGAAAUCUAUAAAUGCUGCAUCUAGCCUAUCAUCUUCCUUUACACGUGUUAUGUUGUUGGGAAGGCCAAAGGCCAAUUAUGAACAUGCGCAAGGCAGCUGUACAACUGCUUGCGAUCCUGCUGAAUGAGAGAGUACGUAGGGUUCGGGCUUAAGGCCCACUCCAACCCUUGUUGAUUUUUGAAUUACUCUUUGUUGAAGAUAAGUGUUGGGCCUUAGGGCCCAUUACGAUUUAUUGUCUAUUUGAGGCUCUCUUUUGCUUUUUUAGAAUGAUUAUUUUGGGAGCUUCAUCUCUUUUUUAUUUCCCAUACAUCUUGAUUUAUUACUUUAAUUAAAAUAUUAAGAUAACACUAAUAUUAGAAAUAUUUAUUAGUUCGGUUUCGAUUAUUAUUUUCAACUCAUUUUUUAUCUUGUUAGAAUAUUACAAUUAAUUAAAUGGUAGAUUAAACCGUUAAUAUCAACAAACAAUUUACUUUAUUUUUUUUAAAAAAAUAAAAUUGAUUUUGGUCCAAUACCAAAAUAGUCUUUCUUAAAGUAUAUUAAUUCUAAAUAAAUUCAAAUUCACCGUAUUUAGAUAACAUCCUCUUUAAAAUUAUUUAAUUAGAUUUUUGGAUGAAAAGGAGAAUAGUAAGCAUCCGCUUUAUUAUCUCUCGAUCAUUCGAAUAAUUGGCGUUCGCCAUAUUGCUCGAAUUUUCGUCGUACUAAAACCUUAAAAAACUUGCAAAUUGUUUCUCCAAAUUAAUUAAAAUGUUUAGCAACCUUAGAUCUAAAUUAAUUCCUUGAUGGAAAAGAGGGUAGGAGGCGCUCGUCUCACUAUCUUUCGAUUAUUCAAAUAAUUGGCGUACGCCAUAUUGAUCGAAUUCUCGUCGUCUAAUUAAAACUUCAACCACAAUAAUCAAAUUAUUUCUUGCAAAUUAAUACAAAUUCUACAACCAUUUAAUUCUAAAUUUCCGAUAAUUAUAUUGAUCGAAUUCUCGUCGUCUAAUUAAAACUUCAACCACAAUAAUCAAAUUAUUUCUUGCAAAUUAAUACAAAUUCUACAACCAUUUAAUUCUAAAUUUCCGAUAAUAAAAGGAUAGGAGGCGUUCGCUUCACUAUCUUUCGAUCAUUCGAAUAAUUGGCGUACGCCACAUUGCUCGAAUCUUCGUCAUCAAAUUAAACCGCAAUCGAAUAAACUCAAAUCACUUUUAAUAUCAAACACAAUUUCAAAAUCAACUUUAUAACUUAAACUUCAAUCAAUUAAGAAUGGGAGGCGUUCGCCUCACCAUCCUUUGAUUAUUUGAAUGAUUGGUGUACGCCACAUUGCUCAAAUAAUAGACUUUUCAAAACCUAUUAAUUGAAAUUCAAAUUAUUUUCAAAUACGACAUCUAAGAACAUUCCUUUUCAUAAAUUAAACUUCGGAUGAUAAAAGAUGGGAGGCGUUCGCCUCACUAUCUCUUGAUUAUUUGAAUAAUUGGCGUACGCCGACUUCCGACUAAAACACGCUAAAUAAACUUGGAUAAGGGAAUAGGUGGCGCUCGCCUCAUUAUUCUUUGAAUAAGCAAGUAGGAGGCGUACGCCUCACUACCGUGCAUAUUCAACAUCCACAAACUAAAACACGCUAAAUAAACUUGGAUAAGGGAAUAGGUGGCGCUCGCCUCAUUAUUCUUUGAAUAAGCAAGUAGGAGGCGUACGCCUCACUACCGUGCAUAUUCAACAUCCACAAACAAACUUUCAAAAAUAAUUCGAAUGAAAAAGGAGUAGAAGGCAUUCGCCUUGUUAUUCCUCGAAAGAAUUGGACGAUUGGUGUGCACCACAUUGCUCAAUCUUUCGUCGUUCUUCAAAACACCUUAACAAAUCAAAUCAAAUUUCUCGCCCCGAGCGAUCGAAACCAACCAAACCAAAACACCCAAACACAUCAAUUCAACUUGUCACUCCCGCGUGACCAAAACCUUUUCAAAAGGACAUUGUUAAUCCUUUCUAAUGCGUACAACAAACCAGUGCUAGAGCCUCCGCCGAGAGUAGACAAGCCAGUGUUUAGCCUUUAGAACACCGACCUACACAGUCGUUCACAAAAUAAAACACACCAAAUAUUCGUAGUAGCCCGAACUACGAAUGCUCUGAUUUCCUUAUUGCACCAUAAGGAUACGUAGGUAGGAGAUUGUUGUAUCUUCGCGAGCACACUAAUAAAAAAUCUCCCAUUUCCCCCUCCUGAGGUCUUCAUCCAUAUCUAUCAUCAAUUCUAAUUACUCGAAGCAAGCAAAUAACAUUCAGUUAACAGUCAAAUAGCAAAAUCAGACUAAAAGGUUCCCGUUGAGUACAACGGACGUGAGGGGUGCUAAUACCUUCCCCUUGCGUAAUCGACUCCCGAACCCGAAUAUGGUUGCGAUAAUCAGACUAAAAGGUUCCCGUUGAGUACAACGGACGUGAGGGGUGCUAAUACCUUCCCCUUGCGUAAUCGACUCCCGAACCCGAAUAUGGUUGCGACGACCAUUAUUCUAUUUUCCUAAAGGUUUUCUCAAUAUUUUCCUAUUCCUUCAUUGGGAUAAAUAAAGUUCGGUGGUGACUCUGUUUCGAACAAACAUUUUUUCCGCGUUUCAUCGCGAGGGAUCGCAUUUUUUCGAGGUGCGACAACACUAUCAGAGCGACACACAGAAACUAAAAUAAACUCAAAUGCAAUAAAUGACAAAGAAGGUCACUAUUCUAUCCUCUAAAACACAACAACAACUAAGGAUCCUCUACCUGAGUAUCUCCACCACAUGAGUAAAGAAUAAUAUAGACAAACAAACAAUGGUGAGAAUACAUUCACAUAUAUUAAUGGUGCAUAAAACAUCAAGGAUAGUAUAAUUAAUAUCAAUCAUAAAUCAUAUAAAUCAAAUUCAUAAAUGCGGUUAUCUAUGCAAUGUAUUCAUCUCCUCAACUCCAAUGCACGUGGUACCAAGGUUUUGGAUAUCAGAGGUAUGUUACUGCUUAGUCCACUCGGCAUUCCUCUCUAAACUUGGAUCCUAUCUAAACCAUUUGACUCGUUACCAAUUCCUCUAUGAACCUGGUUCUUAUCUGAACUAUUUCACUCAUCGGUUCCUCUCUGAAUCGGAGACUCGUCACUGGACCGAAGUCAUACCAAUCUUUGAUAUACAUGAUGCAUGAAUGCCACAAAUAAAUGCAAUACUCUUCUCAAACAUCCAACUCCAAUACUCGUUAUUGGUUCCUAUCUGAACCUAAACUCAAUAUGAAUAUCGCCAAUACAAGGCUACAACAAUGAUUCCUCUCAGAAAAAACCAUCUUAGCAUAACUCAACACUUUUCAUCAUAACUCAACAUAAUAAUUAAAUCAUAUAUUUUCUCAGCAAUACUCAUCAGUACUCAUCAACAACAUCAAAUAAACAUUGACAACAAAAUCCACUCAAAAAAUCAAGUCAACAACCCAUAAUCGGUAAACCUAGGACUGACGGUCAACCCGUCACAGGGAUGACAGUUGUCACUCAAACAUCAUUUUCCUCUCUCACUUGACUGUCAUCCUUGACGAUUUGGGGACACCGUGCUCGUCAUGGAGUAUUGACAAUCAAUUUUUCAUGCGUCUAACGCCCAUCAUUUGUGAUGUAUUGGCAUUUCUUCCCCGUAGUGGUGACGAUUGGCUCGUCACGCAAGUGACUCUUGUUACCGCUGUGUAGAAUGCGAAAAUUAGCAUUUUCACCAUGGUUGCACUUCCAGGUCUCCGAUUUCGACCCAAAAUGACCUUACGCACACAACAGUUCAUCAAUCAUGAAUAAUACAACAUUUAACCACAUCAGUUAUCAUGGUUUUGACAUAUACAUCAUGAUUCAAACAUGAAAUCAUCCUCAUAUUUCUUCAAGUCAUAACAUUAAUUCAAGAGCAUCACAAAUUCGAAUUUAACACAUAUAAUCAUACAAUUCACUGCAAUUUCAGAUCACAAAAUAGAAUAACAUAAACACGAUCCGAAGAGGUUUGCACAACCAUCUCAAGAUUCAAAACCCACAUCAAUGGAGGAAAAGGAAAGGAAAAAGGAAAAAGGAUAAGAAGUCAUCUCUAUCCUUCACGCUUAAACACCGAUAUCAUGAAAAAUCCCCCCAUUACCUCGAAUUUACUGCAACCUUGAAGCUUUGGUUAUGGAGAUUCUCUCUUCUCCUUCCAAAAACUCUCAUAAGAUUUCUCUCUGACUCCGUUGACAACUUAUUCUCCCAAACAACACAUAACUCUAAUUACCCUCUCUAUUUAAAUAAAACCCUACUAUUUUUAUUUACUCACUAACUCUCCUCAAUUCUAAAUAAUUCCACCACUUUCCUUAAUUUUAAUUUUAAUUCUAAUUUCCUCCCUAAAUCUCAAUUUCUCAUUGUUUCUAUUAUUUAAAUAAUUAAAUUUAAUGAUAGUUCCAAUAAAAUUGUAUCCAUCCUCAAUAAUAUCAAUAAAUUAAAUAGAGCACUCAAAUAAAUUAAUAUAAAGCAUUUUAAACUCAAUUAAAAUAAAAUAGACGUAAAACCAGGGUGUUACAAUCAACACCGUUGAAAGUAGAAUUUAAAGCCUUAGAGUUUCCAAGAGCUUCAUUAUGUUCUGCAUUUGUCCAUUCAGAUUUAGGAUUCAAACUUGUAGUACCAUUUUGUUAAGUAAUCAUAAGAUGUUUCAACCAUUUAAUCACAACCUUCUAAAGUUUUGUUGUCUAUGGAAUUGAGAAAGGCAACCAUUUUAGCUUUUCAAUUGUCAUAAUUGAUGCCAUCCAAAAUAGGCAGUCUAUUGACAGACUCUUCAUCCUUAGUGUUAUCCAUUGAACAAAAAAUAUCUCUUGGGAGCUCAUCCGAAUAGAAAAGUGUGCCUGCUUUGAUACCAAUUGAAAUUAUGUUCCUUAGAGGACAAAUGUUGAACCAGAUGUUGAGACAACUUGUCCAACUGUUAAAUUCAAUUUAAGACUAGUUUGACAUCAAUGAUACAUCAAUAAUAAACAAUGAAGAAAUUUGUAAAAUAAAAGAGUUGGUAAUCUAGUCCGGUAAAGCCACACCUAUGCUUAGGGGCAUUCUACCCAAGAAAGAAAAUUCACUACUUUGAAUUAGAAUAAUUAAUCUUAUAAGAAUAUUCGAAUCCUAUUAAGUUCUAUGUCUCUCCCUAAUACUAGUGACUUUCCAUUUAGGCAUCCCCCAAAAUAUGAGAGCUCACUCACUUUCUUCAACCACUAACCUCUAGUGAUCAACCUAAAUAACAUUGUUGAAUUUACAACUUAACUAAGACAAACCAACAACUAUGCCAAGUUACUGAAACAUAAAGUGGCGUACAAUAAUAGAUUCAACACUAAUUCUUAUGAGGGAAUUAGCGUGGAAUACAAGAAAGAAAAGAAUCAGAAACCCUAGAAACAAAUACUUAAUCUUGUGUAAAAAACUCUCUUUUAAAACAUGAGAAUCGAGUCUCCUUAAAUAGCAAUGUCUUUUAGGAUUUUUCCUUAUGAAUCUCUUAUUUAAAUUCGUUCAAAAUAAUAGAAAAUCUUGUUGGAAUUGAUUUCUCCAUAAGUCUCUCCAAAAUAUAUGAUAUUUUACAUUCAAAUUAAAAUUCAAAUCUCUAUUUAAACUUGAUUUGAUUUUUUUAGUAGGUCAAACAAAUCAACCCUACAAUGCUAAAAAAUCUGCAGUAAAUCUGAUUGAAAACCAAUCAGAAAAUUAGCACCAACCAACAUCCCUUAUGGUCUGCUGACAAGGCCAGAUGUUGCAAUGCACAUACUAGAAUAUCGUGUUCCACAUGUUGCACCAGUACAUCCAAAUCAACUCUUUUCCAUAACUUUUAGAUCUUCUGUGGUAGAGAUAAUUUUGGAUAUAGAAAUACUAAACCAAACUACAAUACUAUUUGUGUGUUUCUAGAGAAGGAAGUUGGAGACCACAUGUUGGAACAUCGUGUUCAACAUGCGUCCCUUAUGCACAUGAACCAUAUUGAACAAACUCCAUGUUAUUUUGCAUAAUGCAGCCAAUCCCAAAAGGAUCAACAUGGUCAGACUUUUAUCUAGGAAGGUGAUUGUUAUAGUAGUGAGGAAAAAGGUUGAUCAAACCAUCUAUUGCUAAAAAUCUAUUUAAUCUAGCAUAGAUAAAGUGAGAACCUUCUUGGUUAUUAAAUCAAGCCUCCAUGUUGGUUUGGUAUCCUUAAUCAUUAGUUAAAUAGUCAAAAAGAGUAUUAUUGAUAAUAUUAGUGAUAUUUAAGUCAAGAGGGUUGACCUCUUUUUUCCCUUUCAUUUGUAAACAAGUCCAUAUUACCAAACAAAAGCCAUUUAUGGUAGUUAUAACGUUGAGGCGGAUCGGAGAUAAAAGAGCAUGUUAGUAAUUUUUUAUUGCUUUUUGAAAAGCCAUACGAACUUGUUCCCCUUCAAAUACAAUUAGAAUUAGGGAAGAUAUAGAAAUUAAUGGUGUUAUUAUUUGAAUAUAAGAUGUUGAGAUGUACAUCUUUGCACCAAAGCAAAACAAGACACCCCUCCCCAUUAUUGUAACUAACGCAAUGAAUGUUGGUGGGAUUCUAAUAAUGAGAAGGAAAUUAUAGAUCUUAUCAUUAGAUGAUUUCUUUGUUUCACAUAGAAAAUGAAUUUCAGGAGAGUUGAGAGGAUUAUCUUAUUUAAAGUUCUGAUGGUUUAGGGUUUUCCCACCCCCUGCAAUUCAAGGACAUAAUUUUCAUAUUUUUUUAUAGACCUUUUCCUCAAAGUCUUCCUGAUGUUCUUUGUGUGCUCCUUGUUCUUUUGUCUUCUGAUAUUGUUAUAAUGUUUGUUGGUGAACUAGAUCCGCUUGUCCUUCUUCUUGUUGAGGUCAGCAACCUCAAUCAUGAGAUUGUCUUCAACAUUCAUAGUUUUUCCUUGUUAUCUCGGGAUAUGUUAUUAAGUUGUUGUAGCAUGAUAUCACGCCGCGAAAAAUACAGAAUCGCCACCGAAAUUUAUUUAUUCCAAAGGAAAGGGAAAAUAUCGGUAAAAUCCUUAAAAGAAAAAGAUGAUCAUCACAACCAAAUUUGGGUUUGGGAAUCGAUUACGCAGGGGAAAUGUAUUAGCACCCCUUACAUCUGUUGUACUUAACGGGAACUGUUUUGAUUGUUUUACGCGGAUGAGUGUUAUUAUCUAAAGGUUACUUACGAUUUAUUUAAUUAGGGGGAAAAGUUUUUAAUUAUUGUGUUCGCCAAGAUUUCAAAAUCCUGUGCCUACGUAUUCCCAUAGUGCAAUGAGAAAAUCAGAGUUUUGUAGUUCGUGGGAUAGAAAAUAAGUAUUUAUUGGUUGUUUUUAUUGAACGAUGUUAAUGUUCAUGUUCUAGCAGUUAAAAGUUGCUUGUAUACUCGCCCGUGGGAAAUGUAUUGUAGUAGAACGGAUAUAACAUGUCCUUUAUAAAAGGCUUUUGAAUGCCCUAAGGCGAAAAAAUUAAAUUUGAUUGGUUGUGAUUGAUUUUAAGUGGGAGAUAAGUAUCAGACCACAAGCUAAGUACGACUGAAAAUCCAAGUACCCGUGAGCUGAAAGGACAAGUGCAUCCUGACCUCUCUUUUUCAUCCCUAAGGUUUAUGAAAUCUGUGAGACGAUUUUAAUCGUUGUUACUUAGAGGGAGAAAAACAUCUAACCACGAGCUAAGUACGGUCGUCAAUCAUAAUACUCGGGAGAUGAAAGGACAAGUGCCUCCCGACCUCUCUUUUUCAUCCCAUGAGAACUGAAUUAAACUCAUUAAUUUUGAAGUGUUUUGAAUGGAAAACAAGUAUUGAUACACAAGUUAAGCACGACUGACAACCCAAGUACUUGAGAGAUGGUGUGGAUAAGUUCGUACACCCCAUCCUUUUUCAUUUGAUUUAUUGUAAAAAAAAAAUUGAAAAUGACUUGACGCUGGAUCAAGUGUUUGAAGUUGACUAUGACAAUUGUGUGAAUUAAAUGGCAGAGGUACUUGACGUUUGAUCAAGCACUCGCAUUGCAUUCAAUUAAGUUUGAUUUGGAAAACACUUGACGUUUGAUCAAAUUUAUUUUUGUUCUUUUGAGAAAGGUUCUUUUUAGGUCGCUUUUGAUUAAAUCUAAGUUAAUUGGACGAAUAUAGAAAAUGAUAAAAUGGAAAGCGAUAAAAUCAUUACAAGUUCAUGGAAGUGGGGUACAUUUUUCCCAAAUGAGGGAUAAUCAUACACCAUACAAAAUUAAAUCAUAAGCACAUAUGAAUCAUUUAAGAAGCAAAAAUAAAUCAUUCAAAAAAUAAUCCACAAUCACAAUUCAUGAAUUUAACAAUGCAAAUAAUAAGAAUAUGGUAAAAUUUCUGAGUCUUCACACAAAAUUAUUUUCUAGAACUAUGAUCAAUUAACAUUAGACAUGUGGUAACUUUUAUUAACUAAAAUAAAAAUUUAGUACUAGUCUAAAAUUGACACGUGGUAUUAUCUUAAAUUGAGUAAAGCUACAAAUAAUAGUGACUAGGAAAAAACAUGAUAGAAAAAAGAAGUGAUAAAAAUUAAAAGAAAAAAAAACAAGCUUGUAAUACUCUGCCAUGUGAAACACACAGAAGUGGAAAGAAUUAUUUUUAUCAUUCUUAAUUUGCCAAUCAAAAUUAAUAUCAUGGGGUUGGAAAAGAAUAGGUACAAAAACGUGAAACACAAGUACAGUAGCCUAAAAAUAAACUGAAAUGAAAAAGCUAACCGCAUUUCUCAUUUGAGAUUUUUCACCACGUGAUUCUGGAAAGAGCUCACGGCUUCGCAACAACAAUACCAACUCGUACGUGGGUUUACGGUUCGGUACAGAUUUUUCGAUUCAGGUUCAGGUCUUGACUUCGUAUUUAGGUCCAGAAUUGAGUUUUCUAUUUUGAUUUUAGUUUUGGGAUUUUUCACAUUUUCAAAGCGGUUUCAACAUCAAUUAUGGUUUGUAUCGUGGUUUGAUCAUGACUCGAUUUUGGUAUAUGUUUUGAUUAAAACAAAUAUAUGAUCUAAAUAAUAGAAUUGGAUGAAAGAUUACCGGUAAAAGUCAAGAGCAAUGCGGAUUCUGUUCUUAUUCGUAAAAGGGGCCGGAUAAAAUUCCUCAAUUGAUUCUUAUCUUCUUUUUCCUUCUAUUUUGCUUCUCUUUGUUGCUGCUGAUUUUAUAUGGUUUGUUGCUCAAAUUGCGGUUUGUAAAUUGGUUGUAGUGUUGUAGUUAUCAUCGUUUUGUAACUUGCUCAUCACAUGUUCGAUCAAAUGCUUACGUUAAUCUUUUUCUUCCCUUUUUGCUUAUUACUUUGUGAUUUGAUGAUACUGAAUUUUGAAUGUUGUUGUGGUUUUGAAUUUUUGAAGGCGAUGAUGAAAAUGGAAUAUGGCAAUGAAAAUAAGUUGAAGAUUCAAGAUGAAAUGGUGAUGGUGAAAGUUAAAGUUUGGUUAUGUGAUUUUGGUGAUUUGGAGGAGAUGAAGACUUGUUCAAGGUUGAAAGUUGGUUGAAGAAUGGUGAAUAAUUUUGUGAUUUUUUGGUGAAUAGUAAUUAUGGAAGAAUGAAGAAGAUUGCGAAAGAUGCUUGAAAAAUGGUUCAUGGUUGAAGGUUAGAAGUGAAGACUUGAAGUUUGGUUAUGGUAUAGUUUGGAAAAUGGAAAUUUGUGAAAUGUCAUUUUUGUGGUUUUUUUUUGUGUAAAUAGAGAUUGUAAAGUGUGAUUAGUCCUUUCAUGGUGAAAAUGAUGAAAUUUAAAUAGAAAAAAAAAUGAAGGAAAAGUUAGUUAUGAAAGAUGAUUCAUAACUAUUGGAUAGUGAUCCUUGUGAUGUUUUUUUAAGAGUGACUAGAAUUGAAUUGUGUUAGUUUGGAGGGAUUAAGGUAGUUAUGGAUAGUUAAAAAUGAAAUGCAAAUGAAAUAUAAAUUGUGUUUGUUUGAAAUGAAAAUGAAUUUCAUUUUUAGCUUGUUAGAAAUGAAAUGAAAUGAAAAUGUGUAGUAAAUUCCACUUUGAAUACAAAUGCAAAUGUAUGUGAAAUUUAGUUUGAAAUGUAAAUUUUGUGUUUGUUUGAAAUGAAAAUGAAUUUCAUUUGGUUUAUUUGAAAUGCAUUUAACUUCGUUUUAGUUUGUUAGAAAUGAAAUGAGAAUGUGUAAUAAAUUCCACUUUGAAUACAAAUGCAAAUGUAUGUGAAAUUUAGUUUGAAAUGUAAAUUUUGUGUUUGUUUGAAAUGAAAAUGAAUUUCAUUUGAUUUAUUUGAAAUGCAUUUAACUUGGUUUUAGUUUGUUAGAAAUGAAAUGAAAAUGUAUAGUAAAUUCCACUUUGAAUACAAAUGUAAAUGUAUGUGAAAUUUAGUUUGAAAUGUAAAUUUUGUGUUUGUUUGAAAUGAAAAUGAAUUUCAUUUGGUUUACUUGCAUUUAACUUGGUUUUAGCUUGUUAGAAAUGAAAUGAAAUGAAAAUGAAAAUGUGUAGUAAAUUUCACUUUGAAUACAAACGCAAAUGUAUGUGAAAUUUAAUUUUAUGAAGGAAAUUAGAAUUAAGAUGUGAUUUUUUAUGUAUUUGACUUAUGGAAUGAAUAAGAAUCCGAACAAAUUAACUUUAAAAACAUAUAAUUUUGCUAAAAAUUAAAUUGAUCAUGGAUUAAAAAAUUAAGUUAUGAACUUUUGAAAUAAUACUAAUAGAAAUGAAAUUUAUCUUAUUUUAGUUUAAUUUGCAUCUUAUUCUUAUUUUUACUCUAAAUACCAUUAGAGUAUUUAGAACAAAAUUAAAUAAUAAGGUAUAAAUCAAUUUUAAAUCAUAAAUCAAGAAAAAUCAUAAAUUUAAAUCAAAUCAAUGUAAAUGAAAUGACAAUAAAAAUCAACAAAAUCAAUAUUUGAACAUCCGAAUAAUAUAAUAAAAUAAAUGAUGUACUAUAUGAUAAAAUGGAGUACAUAUCAGUAAAUACUGAUGCAGAUGAAAAAAAAUCUUAAGAUAAAAUCUAGGAUAUAACGCUUUAAUUUAGGGAUGAGGUUGAAGAGACUAAUGCUAGACUUUUUUAGUAGAGUUGAAUCCAUGUUAGAGCUCUGGUGAAAUCCAUGUUCCUUAGGAGGUGAUGCCAUUCCAUUCAUACAAAAUUAGCCAUGAACUCUUAAAAAUCCAAGAACUUUCUUUUAGGAUACAAUUAUGAUUCUCUGACUUCUCCAUGAUUAUUUUGAGAAUUGAUAGUAAAACUUCAAAGAUAAUCAGGUUGAUUUUCUUGGAGAUGAAUCUUCAAUUUUCCAUAGACUUCUAGGAUAUUGUUUUUCACUCGACUUUCUUAUCAUUCACGCUUUUGCAACUAUCAACUAAAUUAUUUUAACGACGCAAUUUUUUAGGCCAAUUAAACUUCUCUAAUGUCGUAUUCUCAAUUUUCCUCUUUCAGAAAAAAGUUUGACAUCUUAUGAUCAUUGAGCUAGAGUAACUUGAUUUCGUAAAGAAAAUAUAUACAUUUUAACUUCAAAAUUGUCUAACUUUUAAUUAUUCAACGUAUUAAUUAUCACUGAUGAUAAAGUCACAUUGUAAAAUAUGGUAUAAAAAACAAAAAUAUUCUAAAAAUUAUAGAAAGUAGAACAUCAAACUCGGUUUUAAAAAUAUCAAAAACUAAAAAAUAACUUUAUUCAAAACAAUGAAACUAAAAUUUCAGUUAAACCAGAUUUUUUUAUACAUGCUCAAUGACAUUUCACUAUAUAACAAGUAUAGUAAUAGUAUAAAAUAUGCUAUAAUUAAUGUAUAUGUGGAAAAAGCUAUAUUUUUAAUAUAAACAACUUUUUUUUAUAAUAUUGUGUAUUCUAUGUAAAAAAUGAAGUAUGGAAAUAAUUUAUUUUGUUUCUUUUAUCCAUAAAUGAAAUGAUAGUAAUUAUUAAAACUCAUGCAGAAUUGUGAGGUGCAGAGUUCGAAACUUGAUGACAAGGAUUAGUUUAAAUAUAAAUAAAAUAUAUUUUAAUAAUAUAAAAUUUUAUUAUUUUAAUCAUGAUAUUGAUCAAGAAUACACACCAACAAAGAAGGACACAUAUCAUGACAUUAAAUCUCACAUGAAAAACACGCAAAGAUAAACAUCAUCACUAGUAAUUAACAACAAAACAAAAAACAUCAAUCCUAAUGAAAAACAAAGACAUUGUAUUCAACAAUAGUAUCCCCUGUUAUAGGAUCAAAAGAGAUUGUGUUAGCUUCAACAUAUCCUUUAGCAAAUCGAAAAACACCGCUCCCGCCAAUCACAGACAUUUCUCUGAUCUUAUCAUACGCAACGUCCCUUCCUGAGAUAGUGAUGACACUCCCGUUAUAUUUUCCUUCAAACAAAGCAAAGUUCAUAACCAUAAGAAAAACGAGCUCGGUUUGUGAGGUAGCUGCAUAAAAUCCUUGUGCCCUAUCUAAUAACUUCGAGUUCAAUUUUGGUCAUAACGUUAAAGCAUUGUCAAUUAUCCUCACUAAACCAAAAGCACUAAAAGAAUUAUCGAAUUUAGGGGUAGAUGGAAUAAUUGGAAUGGACGUAGCGUUGUUUCUCCAACGAUGUCUUGCCAAUAGAAUCUAAAAUGACUAAAAGUUUCUUUCUUUUUAAAAAGUUUAGGGUUUAUUGAGCUCACGAAACCGGUCUCCUCUUGUUCGCUGACGAUUGUGAGGAUGUAACAAGAGAUAAUAAUAAGGAGGAAGAGGAAGACAUUUUGGAAAGCACCCAUAGCCAUAUGUUUACUAUGGUUAGGGCAAAACAUUUGUUUUAAUCCAACAAAAGUGAAAUUAGUGAAGACAAAGCUUAUGAAUAAGGUGAAGUUAGGAAACUUAGGAUGUAAAUGAGUAAGUUGUACACAUUUUUCAGACAAUUAUAUAAAACAAUGCAACCUUGACUUAAUAACACAUGAUGUAGUUAAUUGUAGAAAUAAUGAAAAAUAUAUUAGUUUUUAUUCCAUUUUUUAAAGAUUUUUGGUCUUUGCAAGUGACUUGAAAAAUUUACUAUUAUAUAUUUUGUGGAAAUGCGUUUUUUUUCUUCUAGCGAUUAGGUUUGGACCAUAAUUUUUUUCCCCUCAUAAUAAUACAAUGAUAUGGUUGAAAUUGAGACCCAUAAUCUCAUAUGAAUUAUUAAAAUGUCUUAACACCGGGACUUCAAUUUUAGCAUAUUAAAAAAUUGAAACAUUGACUAAUAUGUAAUUGUUAAACUUUUUCUAUAUAUUUAAAGGAGCAGGUUUUGUUUUGUUUGCAUAAUAAUAAAAUGAUAAGUGUUAAGAGUCCCCCAUCGGACAAUAUAUGGCCUGAACAUGUGUUUAUAAGUAGGGGCAGUCCUCACUCUACAAACUGGUUUUGUAAGGUUGAGUUAGGCCCAAACCACACAUUCUUAACGAUAAGUUUGAAAUUUAAACUCAUAAUGCCGUGUGAAUUAAUUAAAUCUCUCAAUACUAAGGGUUCAAUUUUAGGCUUAGCAUAAAUAGAAAAUACCAUUCGUAGUAAUUUACACGAGGGUGGAAUUCUAGAAAAAUAUUUUUAAUUCCAAGAAAUUUCAACUAGAGAACAUUUUAUAUAUGAUGUCAUUUGUAUUCUCUUUUUAAUUAUUUGUGGAAAGUAAGUAUUUUGAAAAAUACAAUGAGAUGAAUCUCGCUAACGUGUCCGAUCACAAGAGGAUCUUAGGUAAAUCUGUAUAAAAAAAAAGUGAAUGAUUCUUUCUAACUCUAAGGAUUGAGAUAUUUGUAGACUUAAUUCCAAAUUGUUGGGUGAUGAAUCAAUUUUCUACCGGCUGCUUGACGAGAGCGUUGGAAUAUGAAGACUCGUUCUCUCCACUAGUAGGAAUAGGAAGAUUAGCUCUCCACAUUAGCAUAAAAAUCAAUUUAUUAUUUGAAAGAAUGACAAACAUUUCUUACUUGAAAGAAUAGCAAACAUUGGUCAUUUCAGGGGACACGUGGCCUGACACGUAAUAAUUAGGUUGUUGCCUAAUGAAUACAAAAGUGAAUUGGGCGUCUCUCCUCACGAGCGUGAUGAGUUGGAUUGUAUGGCCCUUAACCCACAAGGUCACACCCUCGUGAUCGCCCUGUGGCAUUUUAUGAUGCUUCUUAGGCUGAAUGGGUUAUGAGUUAUCCUCUUCUAGAGCCUAACUAUAGCUAUCACAUUCCAAGUUCUUUGUUGUUAUCACAAAAGUAAGUUUUAAGUUUCGUAUCCAUAGAGACCGAUAGUGUUCAGAGUCCGUUCAACAUUUUUUUAUGAUUCUUAUUAGAGAAACAUUUUAUAUUUGUUUUGAUGUGUGAAAGUAAAUGAUAGAAAAACAAAAUGACAGAAAGUAAGAUGAAGAUUUCGAUGUUAAUAGUAAGAAACCUUGCUAGGGGUAUAUUUUACCAUUACAUAUUUAUCAUGUAUAACGACAUGACAAUAAUAUGCUUCUCUACUAAGCUAUUAACAUUACCACUUGUUGCUCUCAUUCUUCUCUCAUGUCGGUCUCAAUGUGGUGAGAUCAUUGGAUUACCUAAUAAUCGAUAUCUCAGUCUUUUAACCAACACAAAACAUUAAGUUCCAACAGUUAUAAAGCAGAAAGACUCCACAGCAAUCCAACUAUAGUAUGUGCGGAUAUCAAAUCUAACACUAUGUGUAGGCAUUAUUAUCCAAUAAUGAAAAUUUGGGAUCUAGUCAUGACAAGCACCUAUCGAAUGUCAAGUCGCACAAUGAAAACAAGUUUUAGAUAACAACUUUAAAACAUGCAUUAAGAGUAAAGAUUCCAUAAAUAUUAAAGCUUGAGUAGACUAGCAUAUGUCACGAACUAUUUAAUACAUGAAUAUAAUGACUACAUUACCCCCCCCCCCCCCCCCCUCCCCCCCCCUCCCUAACAAAGAUAUUUUUAGUUACGGUCACUCAUCACAGCUAUACUGGUAAUCCUGUGAAGAUGCGCUUGGAAGUUUAUCUGCCUGUCAGUUAAGAAACACUCUCGCCUUCAAUCUUCCUCUCUUAUUCUCCUGUUGGAGACCAAGGUGAACCUACUCUAAUUCUUUACUACCUCAAUCCACUAAAACUGCUUUAGAACUAAACUAGAAACCUCUAUUUAGUUGCUGAUCAAGGGUCUUCAUUUGGUGCACCGUUCCUCCUACCUUCGAUUUGCUUUCUUCUAGGUUAAGCAAUGCUAGAUGGCGUAUAUCAGGCCCUAGCCGCCAUGCUGUGUUGGGCGAGGUUCCCAUUUUCGACCAACAAACAAACUCGUUCUUCACCAUGAAGUAUCUUAGUUAAUACAUGCUAGAAAAGUCCCCACAUAUAUUAUAGUACUUUUUAUACAUAAAUUGAGGUUUUUAUAUUUUGCUUGUAAAAUAAGUUAAUAAGUGCCUACAUAUUUUACGUAAAUUUUUCACUUACAUCCCUCAAACACGAGGCAUGGGAAUGGUAGAGUGAUUUAAUUCUGAUGGACAACGAUCUCUUUCUAGAGAAAUGACACAAUUGAGCAAAGAUUAGGGGGUGAGUCCCUUAAGAGAAUCAUAAGGGAUAUUCCAUCAAGUGAAUCUUAGAGUGUGAGUCUUUUAAGCAAAGCUUGGAGGGAGAGUCUUUCAAGUGUCACUUGUGGGAAGCAUGUUGGUUGUUUAUGCUUCGAUAAAAUGAGUUUUUCCUUAGGAAUGUGCAAGAAUUGUGGGCCAUUGAUUAAUCUGCAUAUUUCUAAUUUGGACGCAUAUGGCCUACAACCUACCAGCAGGCGUAUGCCUAAGGAUUCGAAAUGAUGUUUACUCUUCCUACUAGGCUUACAGCCUUAUAAAUAGAGGGAUAACAUAUGUUUUCCUUACUCUUGCAUAUGAACUCUUCCUCUUUUCGGAAUGAUUUUUCUUCUUCAACACUUUCUCUUAGAGUUUGGUUUUUUAACUCACCACCAUCAUCAAACCCAAGUCGAGUAUUGUACUAAGCCAGCGAAAAAGGGUGGUUGGGUGACCCUAGGGACCUACCGAUAGGAUUCCUUUCACCCGUCACUCAAACAACUACAAAAAUUAGAAUGUUAGGUUUGUAAGAGUGAGGGGCGAGAUAACUACUACAUGGUAAUAUAUGGGGAAGAAAAAAAUUACUCAUUCCCUUUUUGUUGGAUGGACGACCUUGUGGUCAUAAAUGAAUUCAAUAGUGAUUAAUUGGCCAUCAUAAAGAUGGAAAUUAUCGAGAUUCUGAAGGAAUUUUGCAUUAUGAGCUCCAAGGAAAUGGUGGAGUCCAAUCAAUCUGACAACUGGGAGAGGAAACUUGAUGAAUAUUUGUGUAAGUUUGUUCUUUGUUUUAGGUGUUUGUAGUUGGAUCAUUUACUUUACCUAAUGAUUAUUUUUCUUGUUUGUAAAGAGGAUGGCUCCAAUGGACGGUGAUGAGAGGAAAGCUCGACAUGCAAAAGAAAAAAAAUUGUGUGGGGUCGAGAAAUGGUUUGAUAAUCCUACAAGCUAACCAGUGGCCUACUGAUCAAAAGAAAGAAAAGGCAUGUUGGAAGGACGACCAUCCUUUCUCCCAAGCCUAUCAUGAUGGAGGAGUCUUAGAGAAGAUAAUAAGGUUGCGAAAAGCUUGUUGAAGAGCUCAACCAAGUGAAAAGUGUGCUCAAAGCCUUGAAAGGUUCUCUCUGGGCGGAGGCUCUCCUCAAGAAGAAGUUGGAGGAGGAUACAUAUGAUUCCAAGGGUUAGGUGGUCAAUGUUGUUGAUAUAUUCUUUGAGAGAGUCGAGACAUAAGUGGCCUUCCUCUAUCGUGGUCUAGAUUUGAGCGAGAUUGACUUGUUCAAAGUCAAAAAAGAUGUUCAGCUUGUGGAUGAAGAGGACUAACGUCCCCUCUUUAAGACUACUCUUGUCAAACGGUGAGGGGGAGGGGGAGGAUGAGAGUUUUGUAAGAGGUCCAAACCCUAGCAUCCACCUUACCCCAACUUUUAGGCUUUAGAUUUCCCAAUAUACAAAGUCAUCCCAUCGGUUGAACGUUCCACUAAAAAAUAUAGGUUUCGGUUGAUGAUCCGUUGCUCCCCUCUCCUUCUCUAUCUUCCUCGUAUGUCAUGCGCGACUAUCAUGUUUUUGAAUCAGCCUUGUGUGUUCCAGAAUGUUAUCCAAAAUAUUCUUCAAGAAAACGUGACGUUUUCUCUAGACAUUAGUUCUUAGACCAACACGCUAUUACAAUUCACCAGAAAGUGAAAAUGUUAAAGAUCGUUCACACAAACGACACCAAAUGAUCCAUCGAGUAUGUGUGCGUGACUAGUUACUACUUUUAAUCUCCCUUUCUUUUUAAUCUAUUUGUUCUUAUUAUGUAUAAGAUUUGGUUUGGGUACCUCAUAAUAAUCUAACCCAUAAUUAUUUUAUGUAAUAUUUUGUUUUCUUGACAUAAAAAACAUCAUAUAUAAAACCGUUAAUAUUAACUUCGAUAUUUUGUGAUAUAACUACAUAACAAUAACAAUGUCAUUUCAAAUGGAAAUGAUAAAUAAUUGAGUCAAAGAACCAAAGUAAUGUGCAUGUCAUAACUUCUGUAUCGCCACCAUCAAAAAACAUAAUUUAUGUUUUUUUACUACUCACAAAUAUGAUCACAUGUAUAAAUUAUGAUAUUGUGUAAAAAAAAUGUAUAAUUCAUGAAAUCAUCUUUAAAAUAUACAUAGUAUGAGGCAACUUUAUAUUAAUAUUUUUAAUUUGUCUUAUAUAAAUACUUCAUCCAUCUCUGUCGAAAACAUUAAAAACAAAAAUAUUUCCUUACAUUUAGAGCUUUGUUUUGUUAAGUUUCCUUUUUAAUGUUUCACUUACAACAAAAAGAUUUUCACAAGUAUUUUUCUUUUCACCUCAAUUCUUUUUUCUUAUAAUCAUUUGUUGGAGUGAGUAGAUUUUUAAAUAGUUUAAGGUGUUGUUUUAUAAUGGUCAGUAACAUAUCGUGUUACUAACAAAUUUCACAAUUUUAAGAUAAGAAUCAGUUUCAAUAGACAAUUUUAAAGUAAUAAUCAUUUUUUAUUAGUAAUAGAGUUUUUUUCUAUUGUCUAUUGAAAAUCAGUUUAUUGAUAAAAGUAUACAUAUUAUGCUGAUCCUUAUUGUUAAAAAAAUACAUAUCAUGAUUCUUAUUUUAAAUAAACAAUUUAAAAAUAAGAAUCAGUUAUUUUGUGUUAGUAACUAACUAAUAUUAUCUAUUGUCUAUUUAAAAUAAGAAUCAACUGUAAAGAAAAAAUCAAUUUCAGUAGACUAAAGAAUUUAUUUUUUAUUUAUUUUGAAAUUGUUUAUUAGGACCAAUUUUUUCCUUAUAAUUGAUUUUUUUUUUAAAUUAUAAUUGUAGUUUUUGACUUCAGAGAUGACAUUUAUACUCAAUUUUAUUAUAUAAAUCAAUUUUAGUUAAAUUUAUUUAAUUAAAAAAUUAUUUAACAUAUAACUCGCUUAUAACUAAAAUCAAUUUUACAUAAUUAAAUUUACUUAAAAUUAAAAAAAUUUCACCAUAGAAUUAUAACACUAAAUUGAUUUUUCUAAUAUUCUAUCAUUUUCCCUGAUACCUCAAUUGUCUUUUUUAUUAUUUGAAAUAUUAAAAAAAAAAUUAUUUUAAUGAAUUUUUUUAUUAUUUGAUUGUCAAUAUAUUGAUGUUUAUAUAUUUUUUUUAUGCUUUUUUUUGUCAUGGUUUGUUUAAUGAAAUAAGAUUUCUCUUCUUGUGCUAGGAUGAGAACAAAAAGGAAAAUACAAGCUUUUAAUGCAAAAAGUGCUUUACCUAUUUCUCAAAACCUUGUGAAUAGAUGUGGUAGGAAUUUGAAGAAGGAUCAACUUGGUGGGGUCAUAUUUGGAUGCACAAGGCAUACAAUGAAAGAGUGUCUAUCUAAACAACUCUUUGGUUAGUCUUUUGCAUUUAAUUGUUUUUAUGGUAGUAUGUGUAGUAGACUAAUUUCUCUAAAAGUUAAGCUAUAUUCGAUUCAAUACCAAUUUUAGAAGUGAUUCUUGUCUCAAAUUAUUAUAUCUACAAAAACUAAUGUUUCUAGACAUACACAUAAAUAUCUUUUAUACAACAAAUUCAAACAUUAUUUAUUAUAUAUUUAACUCAUUUUUUCAACUCGACUUAAUUAUAUUAUUUUAGUUAAAAUUAUUUUUUAUCACUGCAUAAUCAAAACAUGUGUUUAGUAUGAGUUUGAAACAUUAACUAAAAAUGGUAUUUGCAAUAGAAAUUUAUACAAUAACUACGAGAGUCAUAGUAACUGAUUUAAAAAAUUAAAUUCUCAUUCUUAGGCCCCUUAGUGAUUUUCUUUUAUUGAUUGUGGAAUUAUGUUUUACUAUGAGAAUGUUUUAUUUGUUUUAACAGGUUUACCAGCUCAACACUUUUCAUAUGUGGAGAAUAUUAAUCCAAAGAUGCCUUUAUUUCUAUUCAAUUAUAGUGAUAGAAAGCUUCAUGGAAUUUUUGAGGCUACGAGUCAUGGAAAAAUGUUUAUAGACCCUUAUGCAUGGAUUAAUGAUGAUUAUACCGAUGAAACACAAUAUCCUGCACAGGUAUCAUAUGUUUAUUGUUAUCUGCAUAAUAAACUAUAAUUCAUAUGGUUCAAAAUAAUUGUGAUCGUAAUUGAUGUAAGAUUCAUUAAUAUUAAUGUUUUUGGAUUAUUUAUGUUUAAGGUAAAAGUUCGUGUACGAGUCCAAUGUCAUCCAAUAUUAGAAGAUAAAUUUGGACAAGUAAUUGGAGAAAAUUACUAUCUUAAUAAUCAUUUUUGGUUUGAACUAGAUCAUAGACAAACAAGCAAGUUAAUGUAUUUAUUUGUAUCUACUGCCAUAGCUACUAAAAACCCAGUACCACAAUAUAAUACAAAGACAAGAAUUGAAUAUCCAUAUUUUCCACGUGAAACCCUAAAAAGAGGUGAAGUAUUAUGUGAAGUAUUAUAAAUAUAUAAAUCUUAUACAUUAAAUUCUACUUAUUCAAAUUUGAAUUGUAUUGAUGUUGCUUCAUUUUCAGAUGGAUUGAAUCGACCAUUAGGUACCCGCCCAAUUAAAAAGGAGAUAAAUCAUGAUGAAAAAAAUCGUGUAUAUACGAAACUAUUAGAAAUGGCUCUUGGAAAGAAAAAUCAAGACCUAUCUUUUAUAGACAAGGUAAAAGAUGCUCCUAAUGAGAGCAAUAUAAAGGGUUAUAGAGAGGAACCAUUGAGUUUAAGAAAGAAGGAUGAGAAUUGCAGUGCUUCAUUGGAUAAUCUCUAUACGAUAGUACAGGUUAAUGAUUGGAGGAUAAAAAUAUUUUAAAUGUUAUAAAUUAAUUUUAUUUAUAUUAAACUAAAUUCAAUUUAUUGUUUUAGUCUGCGCAACAAAGGAUCGGAGAACGAAAAGUUUUUAAAAAAACUCAAUCCUCGGAAAAUGGUGAUCUAAAACAACAGCGGGUACAAUCUCAUUUUAACUAGAAAUGAUUAAAAAAGAAAAAAAAAAUUGUAUUGCAUUGAAAUUUUAUACUAAGAUUUGCAUAAAACAUGUUUUCAAAGUUUAAAAACUCAUUUCAUUAAAAACCUUAUUUUUCAAAUUCAAUAACUUUGUGCAUCACUUAGAAUCGAGUCAUAAUCAUCAUUGAAGUCACGCAUAACAUUUGAUACCUUCAAAUGUACUUAGUUUGUGAUUCACAUUUAUCAUAUUCCAUGUUCAGCUUAAAACUAAUGUUUUUUAUUGUCAUAUGAAGGCAUUGUUGCAAAUUCAAGAUGUCAAAGAUGAUUACACAAUGUCUAGAUUUACGAAUGUGGAGAAGACGAUUAUCCAAUUAUUUUUGUCUAAGAAUGCAACCAAAUCUUUUCAACCAUUGAACUUUAUUGGUUUGUACACAACACAAGUACGAUUGAAAGGUAAUCUUUAUUUUUAUUUAUUUUUUGUAAAAAAUAGUUGUGUUUUCUUCUCUUUUUUCUCGAUCUUUCUCUUUCACACAAAACAAGUGUAAUAUGAAAAAAUUAAUAAAGAAUUACAAUUUAAAGAAGAAGAUGAAAUAUAAGAGAGAUAGAGAUAAAUUAGUGAAGAGUGAAUUGGUGAUUAAGCCACAUAUUUUUUAUUUUAAUUUUAUAUGCACUAUAUGGAUUAAUUUCUUUGUCUAUCUUUAAAUUUAGCUAAAGUUUAUUUAAACAAUAUUUUGUGGGCAGUUAUUAGUACUACAAAUGGAAAUAAAUGCUUUACAAAUGUUGAGAUCUUUCAUUUAGAUUAUGGAACAUGGAUCUCUAUCAAUUCAAACUCAAAUAAGGUAAAGUACCUUAUUUUACUAUUAUUUAGCUAAAAAAUGUUUUUGUAGAAAUAUUAAACAAUAGAUAUACAUUAUUGGUACAAGUAAAUAUAUUUCUAUAUGUUUUAUGUUUUGAAAAAACAUAUACAAAAUGAUUAACUUAAUGUCAUUUAUAUUCUCAGAAGUUUGAUCUUGCUGGAAUGGAACUCAAUGAUUCACUUCAUAUCAAUGGUGGAUAUAAUGGAUUUGACUAUUUGAAGUAAGGUUUUAAAUAUCUUUAAAAAAAGCUUCCAAUUAUGUAGCAAAUAUAUUCUAAAUAGAUAUAUUUUUUUAAAUGGAGGAACCUUCUAAAGACACAAAUAUGCAAAAUUUAAAGAUAAAAAAUGUAAAAUUAUCUUAAGAUAACUUAAAAUAUAUUUCAACAAAAAAAUGUUUAUAUGAUAAUGUAUCAAAAUUUUAUUAUUGACUCUAUAGGUAUACCAUGGAUGAUUUUGAUGAAUGCACAAGUGUUCCAUAUAUGGAUCUCUUUGAUCCAUGUUUUGAGGCAAGAAUGAAGCUGAUGAAUUAUCUUGAGAAUUUUUCUGAUGCUAAAGAUUUUAAAGAGUCUAAAAGAUUGAGGGAGUCUAAGUUUUUGAAACUUUUUUAGAUAAUGUAAGUAGUAUAUACUUACUUUGGUUAAGAACUAAAAAGAUUAGAUGGUUAAAAACUAAAAAAAUAUAGAUCUUCAAAAAAUUGUUUUCAAUUAAUUAAAAAGAAACCUCCCAUAGUAGUCAUUUGGUUCUUUUAUUAUAUUUUUAACUCAGGUAGUUCAAUCAAUUUAAAAUACAACAAAAGUUAGAACAGUUUCUUCAGACAACAAAAGUGUUUAUGGCAAUGAAGAUAUGUAGUAACACAACCUUUGAAAAUAUGCAUUGCUAAGUUAGAACUUAAUUGUAAUAGAUACUAGACUAAUUUCAACUUAAAUAUAAUAAUUUUUGCAUUUAAUCAAUAGGAUACAAAAUAGUGCAACAAAAUAGUGCAUACAUGUUGAUGUUGUUUGUAUUAUUCUAAUUGGAAUAAAAUAUAUGAAUUACAUAUGUAUGUUGUAGCUUUCUAGAUAAUGCUUAUUAUGGUUUACAAAACAUAAAAUAGAUUCAUUAUAAAUAGAUAUUUAAAGAUGCUAUUAAAGCAAUUGAAAUUCAAUAAAUAUUUUUGGACAUGAGAGCAUUUCUUAUUGGUCCGGAUAUGUUCAAUAUUAGCUUUAUUAGUAAUAGGAUGUGUGUUGGAAAUUUAGAAGUAUUUUAAACAAAUUCUUCAAUGUUUAAAAGUGUGUCGGAAUAUUAUAAACAUUUUUAUAAUAUUCUAACAUUAUCAUUGUUGUCACUUUUACUAUGGUGAUCUUGAAUGAUGAUGUGGCUUUUUGAGUUGUCUAACUUAUUUUUUUUUAUUUUGAGGAUCAAGUUGUUGCACCUUGUAUUAAGGUUGUCGUUGAUUCUUGCAUUUCUCAUUCAUAUUGUUAUUCUUAUGUUGUUAUGGUCCUUGAUUGUUGCUAGUUAUGACCACCUUUAUAGGUUCAUUUAUCCUCUUAAAAACAUCUUUUUGAAGAUUAACCUUUUUAGAUGACUGGUAUUUUUACAUUGAUUACAAAAUAUGGGGAGUUUUUCAAAUUCCAUGCCAACAAAGAAAGCAUAACAUACUAUAUCUACAAUAAUAUGACUUUGAAUCUAAUUUGGCAUAUCAAUAUCAACCCAUAUUUUAGCAAAGUGGCUCAUGAUACGUUUGUUGGACAUGUGACUACAUACACCAAAGAAAAAGGUGAAUUGUGGAGGUUUGAAAAACUAUGAUUUAAAAUAAAAUCAUUUAAGAAAUCAGAGUUUAAAUCAUUUCAAAACAAUUGAGAAAAUAAGCAAAGAAAAAAUAAAAUAACUGGAAAAAGGGAAGAGAAAUAACGCUACAAAAUUAUACAUGUUCGACUAAGAAGACAUAAUCAUAUCCCUAAAAAAAUCAUCUUGAGAGUAUUCAUUUUUCUUGGGAGCUUUUAGAAGGUUAUGCCCACAAACCCCCUUAUACAAGAAAAUUAAAUUUUAUACUAACUUCUAACCAAACAACGAACAAAGUUUGCAACGGUUAGUCUACAAAUCAAACACAGAUUUUGCACAGACUAAUAUUGAACCAAGACAAAGUUUUGAAUUGACUGUCUUCUGAACCGAACCAAGGUUUUACACAGGAUGACCACAGGAUGAUCUUUAACCUACUAAGCUUUUACACCAAGUUGAACUCAAAAACAAAGUGAAAUUUUACAUGAGUCAAUUUCAAACCGAUAGAGCUUUUAACUGGGCUGAGCUCAAGAAUCGUUAUGGAGAUUCUCACCGAGUGUUCUUCACAAACAAAAUGAGGGUUUUUUCUUCAAUGGAGAAACUCGCGAACCGGACCGGAACUUCCUAAAACACUCCCCCAAAACAAAGAAGAGCUUUUAAUUGGUUUAUCUUGCAACCUAAAUAAUAACUUCCUAUGGAAGAAUUAUUUACUCAAGAAAAAAUUCAAUCUUAGCAAAUUUAUAAUUGUUCCCUCACUCGAAACAUUAUUCCUCAUUAGACUCAAGAACACUCUCAAAGCACCAUGGCUAAAAUAUGUGAGAAAAUACAAAAGAUUUAGAAAGGUGAUGAGAGAAAUGAAAAGUGAGGCUUUCAUGUUUUUUGGAUAUAAAAUAAAGUGAUAGAGAAACUUUCUAUUUAUAGGUCAAGGUGUGGUAUAAACUCGGAAACAACUCAUGGACCAAUUAACACACCUAAUAAGAUUAUGGUUGAAGUUGAAUUCAUGCACUUCUCUAGUUCCAAAUAUAACAAUCAUGUACUAGUAUCUAGAGCAUACUUUUGGGUCAUUUAGGAUAUUUUGAAGAUUGGUAUAGAAAUCGAUGAACUAGGAUUCACACUGGAUGCUCUUCAAAAGGCAACUUAUAUGAACGAAUCAUUCAUCAUGACAUCCCAAACAAAACAAGUUUUUUAUGGCACUGGUCCUUCUAACACAAAAUGAAAAAUUGUUCUACAAUGAAAAUCUAUUUUUAAUAGUGAUGAAAAUCAAGAUUUUAAUUUUGAGACCCUUCUUUCGCAACACAUAUAUGUCUCUCAUCUGAAAAAAUGAUUCAUAGGUAUACAUGUUAUUCGUCGUGAUCAUCAAGAAUGGAUAUGGAAAACUAGUAAGUAAAUGGUUUAUAUCAAUUAGUAUAUACGUUUAUUCAUUUUACUUUUUUUUAAUUUUUUUACUAAAGAUUUAAUGUUGUUGUUGAUGAUGAUCCUAAUUGGUUUUAAAUGUUGUUCAAAUUAUAGGUACUUAAUUACCGGUGGCAAAUCACAGAAGAUAACUUUUGAACAACCUACAAGACUUUACAUUUUAGUUAUUGCGUUUUUUGGUUAAUCAUUUGUUUUAAUUUUGUGCUAAAAUUAUAAGGUGUGGCCCAUUUUGGCCUUGCAAAUGGUGUAAACCAUGGAUUUUUUCGUAUAAUAUUUCUAUUUGAGAAAUAGACAAAAGGUACAAUUUUCCUAUUUCAGAAAUAGAAAAAAUAUGAUUUGGUAAUACAUGUUCAAACCAAAAUAUAGAAAAAAAAUAUAAAAAAGGAUUUCCCCAAAAUUAAUAAUACAAAACGAGUUAAUAAUAUUUCUCCAUUACCUCGAUUUUCCUCAUAACCGAGAGAAAAUAUGGGAGAUGCCAUCCAAUUUUGAAAAUAAUAAAAAUGUAGUUGUUGGGGAUGAACUCAUACACAUAAUACUUUACUCCUCGUUUAUUCCAACCCCGGAAGUAAAGUGACAAAUUUUCACUAAGUCAUUCAUUAUCUCGCAUGGGUAAUUGAAGUUAAAUCCCCUUCAUAUCCAAGAUUAAAUGUGUUUUUUAUAGUUGUGAUAUAUCUUUCUUUAAACAUGUCAAACCAUUCAUUUCUUUCUUUUUGUUUAUCUUUUCCUUUAAGCUUACUAUAGCAACUUAAAUUUCCCCAAAAUAGAUUUUCUAUAUUUUUUCCAAUCAUUCUAGCAGCAACAUUGUUUGCAUUAUUAUGAUGGUCAUGUUAUAGGUGCAUACUAUAAGACUUGGAAUAUAAAAGUAUCUUAGAUAAAUAAGCCUAUGAAAUAAAGAAAAUAACAAAUGAAACAAUGUGAACAAUGAAGAAUCCUCGAGUUAAAAUUGAAAAACCAGUCGAGUUGAAAUGUGAACAAGGAAGACUCUGGCAUGACACAUGCCUCCAAUCUAAAGUGUUUGUGCUGCUUUUAUAUAUAUGGUAUUAUCACCAUUAUUGAUAGAAAGUAUGGUAAAAUCACCAUAAUUUUAGGCAAAAACUAAAAUAAAUUUUUAGGAAAAAUGCACUUAGUCUAGCCAAUGUGAUAACAUUCAAAUAAAAUUCAAAGAAAAUCGAGAGAGGUCUAGCAUAACAACCAACUCUAGGUAACAGAGAAAAAAACAAUCUUUUUUACUUUCAAAAUAAAGUUAUUUUGGAAUAAAUAAAUGAAACAAAUGAGAAUUAAAAUGAAUAUGCCAACCUCAACAAUCAAAAAAGAAAAUUUUGGAUGUUAUCAAGCAUUAUUUGAUGAGUUUAGUAAACUCAAUGCUUGAUAAAUUAGAAAUAAAUCAAUGGUUUAGUAAACCUUUAGAUGUCUACACAGUGCUAUGUUAUCAAAGAAUCUUGACAAAUAUUUCCAAACUACCAUUGAAAUUGAUAUAUUAUCAAGUUAAUUAUUUCAAAAUUAAGUUUUUACAUCAAAAUUCACAACAAAACAGAAAAAAUAAUCAACUAACAAGAAGAAACUAGGGCACCAGCUGAGAGAGAGGUAGAAGGAUCAUUAUCAGCAACAAAAAAAAACUAAUGUUUUGAGGAAUGACGUUGGCUUUAUUUUGAGUAAUCUCUGAUAGAAACUUCUCAAACACAUAAUCAAAGGUCUUUAGGUUUUGUUGGAGGACCUUGAUUCCUUUUGUUGGAGAGAAAGAGAACCGAUGAUUUUGUUGGGGAAUCUGCUAAUCCAUACGAUAGAUAAUUGAUGGUUAAUCUAGUUAACUUUCGCGUUGAAUAUUUCGCAUUGAAAUGAGACGAAAGAGACUUAAUUUCUUUUGAACGAAAGGAUACGAAAGUGAAUUCGUGAAAAGCUGAAACCCUAAAGUUGAAACAAAAUAUUUGUGAAGAAAGUCGAGGCUAGUAUUUUAAUCUAAAAAUUGAAAAACUAUUUUUAAAGGCACGUAGCGUCAGCUUCAGGAGACACUAAUAUUAAAAAAUAUAAAUAAGAAAAAUAUAUAAAACUAUUUCAAGCUAUGAAUGAGUGUAGCGUCGACUUUAAUCCGUGUUAUUAUUAAAGACUUUAAAAAAUAUAUUAAAUGAAUAAAAUGUUAUCGUCCAUUUUUGACGCUAUUAAUGUCAUAGCCAUGAUUGGCGCUAAAAUUUUGAGACUAAGUAGUGAAAUAUCAACUUCCUAAAAAGAAUUAUUUACUCAAGAAAAUUUAUUCUUGAUAAAUUUAUAAUUUUUCCCUUAUCUAGAACACUCAAGAAUACUCUCAAAAUAUUAUGGCUAAAAUAUGUAAGAAAAUAAGAAAUAUUUAGAAAGGUAUUGAGAGAAAUAAAAGUUGGCUUUUUCACAUUUUUUUAUGCAAAAAUUUGACAGAAAAACUCUCUAUUUAUAGGUAAAGACUUGGUAUAAAUUUGAAAAUAAUUCAUGGGUCAAUUAAUUCACAUAAUCGAUUAGGCACCUCAAAUUAUUGAUUGUUGGGGUCCAAAAUAAAAAGUUUUGAUAUAAAGUCGUUAUCAAUCAUUAAGAGAAGACCUCAAUCAAUGGUAAACUCAAUUAAGAAUCAUCUAAUCCAUUGGGCCAAAGAUCUAAUUGAUUAGACAGUUAUAAAAAGUCUCAUAAUCAAUUAAACAUUCCCCUAAUCAACUAGUUAGGCCUCAAAAACAUUUUUUAGUGAUUUAAUUUAAAAAGUGGGACAUUUCUCAAGGGUUUUUAGCAUGUGUUAUUUAGUCAUAAUAUUUUCCGAAAUAUCCUUGUGUCUUUUCAAUACACUGUCGCUCGGACGGACACAACCAAACGAGAUUUCACACUUCUUUUCUUUCGCACUCUAAAGCUUCAAGUCUUUGUUGGAAAAAUAAAAAAUAAAUAAAUAAGUUCCACGCACACAGAAGAAAUACCCACAAAAAAUGAAAAACAAACAAAAAUUCAAACAAAAACUCAUAAAAUCAUAAUUCAACUUGUAAAAAAUUACAAGGAAAAAAUUGCAAACUCUCCUACAAUUGUAAUUUUUAAGGAGAAAAUUUCAAAUCAACCAAAUUAAAAUUUUUGAACGAAAAAAUUAUAAACUCUCUCUUAAUUACAAUUUUUAGACGGAAAAAUUGUAAACUCUCUCUCAUUACAAGUUUUACAAGUUUUAGACGGAAAAAUUACAAACCCUCUCAACAAACUAUUAUUGAACGAAAAAAUAGAAAACUCUCUAAACAAACUAUUUUUGAACUAAAAAAUAGAAAAUCCUCUCUAAACACACAACUACCCAAAUCUCCAAUACAUUCCCAAAAGACUACAGUUUGUUGUUGUGAGGAAAACUCAAACUAACUAUCUUUAUUUAUAUUGAUACUUCAAUUCUAUUUUCUUUCUACCAUCCGAUGUGGAACUUGGAUGAAUAUACUAUUUUACCCAACAAAUCCUCCUUUCAUUUAAAGUCUCGCAUAUCUUCACUUUAUAAUCAACUUCAUCUUCAAAGCAUUUAAGAUCAUAACAUUUGUAAAAUUACUACUCUUCAAUCUUCUUGUCUUUUUUCUCCCUUGAUCAUAAUUUUUUGUUAUUAUUCAUUUUUCGUUUGAUCAGAAUUUUUUGUUACUAUUUGUUUUUUGCUUGAUCAUAAUUUUUUGUGACUCUUCCUUCCUCCCUUGAUCAGAACCUUAGCUCUAAUAUCAUUUGUUAGAAAAAUAACAAAAAAAACAAUUUUUUACAAAUACGGAAGCAUACCCACAAAAAGAAAAAGACCGAAAAAUUCAAAAACAAAAUUCACAAAUUCAUUAUUCAACUUCUAAUCUUUACAAAACAAAAUUACAAACUCCAAACUACAAUUUUUUAAUGGAAAAAUUGUAAACCCUCUCAAUUAUAAUUUUUGGAUGGAAAAAUUGCAAACCCUAUCAACAAACUAUUUUUGAAUGGAAAAAUAGAAAACUAUUUCAAAAAACUAUUUUUGAACGGAAAAAGGAAAAUUCUCUCUAAACACACAACUACCCAAAUCCUCAAUACAUCUAAAAGACUAUUGUUCUUGUAUGGAAAACGCAAACUAACUAUCUCUAUUUAUAUUAAUAUUCAAAUUCUAUUUUCUUUCUACUCUGCGAUGUGGAACUUGGAUGAAUAUACAUGUCGUGGCUAGAAAAAUGACAGAGUCGCAACUAUCCUUUAUUCGUUCCUAAGGAACUGAGAAAUAAUGAUAAAACGUAUAAACUAAGGGUGAGAUGCUAGGUUCGGGAGUCGGUUAAGUAAGGGGAAGGUGCUAGAUACCCCUUAUCUCCAUUAUACUCAAUGAGAUCCUCCUUCAAUUCUAGGAUUAGUGUGUGUUUCUAAGGGUGUUUACUUAAUUAUCAAUUAAUUGUUAAUUAUUUGUCACAUUUACAUAGAAAUAUUUUAACUAAAAUAGACAGGAGACCAAAAAAGAUUUUUCAUUGUCGUACUCGCUAUAGUUUACAACUCUAUGCAUACAUACUUUCUCUUUAUGCAAGGGAUCAGAGUACCAUAGUUCUUGCAUAAAAAAGUUGUUUGUUGAUUGUUUUUAUCCCUUAAAAAUUCUCAUGCAUCGGGGAUGGAGAAGUGAUUGAUUUUUAAAAUGUCUCAAUACACUAGGGUAGAGGACUUACAGUUUGAAGUGUGUUGAAUUUGAUUUUACCCCUUAAUUGUUUGCAAAAAUGUAAUGCUUAAUUUAUUUAAGAAAAUAAAUUGGUGAUUAUAGUUAAACCCUUAUCCCUUAUUUUAUUCCUGAUUUUUAUCCGUUGAAACCCUAAUAGUUUAUCCCAUAUUCUCUAUUUAUUUAUCCCAAAUUAAAUUCCUUAAUUAUCCCAAAAAAAUCUCAAACAAUUAACCAUAAAUAUGUAUUAAUCCCUUAAUUAAUUAAACAAUUUUUAAUCAUUUAAAUAAUAUAAUGAUAAAUGAAUAAAAUAUUAAAUAAAUAUUAAAAUAUUGAAAACUCUAAUUAUUAAUUUAAUUAAACAAUUAAAAGUCAAUUAAUUUAAUAAAAUCCAAUUACUAAUUAAUUAAAUAAGAUUAUAUAUAUAUAUAUAUAUAUAUAUAUAUAGAGAGAGAGAGAGAGAGAGAGAGAGAGAUGGUGUACAUGUGUCAGACUUAUGGUGUACGUGUGUGCAUAAGGGACAGGUUGACUCAAUAAUAUGAUUAGCUGAAUAGGGGCCACGUUGGUGUGAAUUGUAUGAGCUCAAGGAAGAUAUAUAAAGACACCCUAUUCAAACUUGCUCAUUUCUUUCCCUUAUUUCUCUCUCUUCGCUCCUUUCUCUCUAACUCUCUCAACUACUUCUACCUCUGGUCACUCCUCGUUCUUUACCCCCUCUGUCCAAACCACCUGACUCUUCAAUUUUCCGGUUGUACUUCAAUCGGAAGAUUUAAACAUUUAAACUAGUCCUAAAAACAUAAGCUCGCUUAGCGACAUAUGAUUUGCUUCGCGAGAUGGCUUUUCUUCAUCAUGAAACUUUCAAACACAUAAAAUUUAGACCGACUUAUCUUGCUUAGCGAGUAUUGGAUAGCUUAGCGAGAUAUCUCGCUUUGACCUCAUUGUGUUGUGCUAAGCGAGUAUGUUUUUUUGGAGAAUCUUGUGCUUUCUGACUUGUCUCGCUUUUAGUUCACUUUGACCUAGCUAAGCGAGACUGAUGUUUUGAAGAAUCAUGUAUAUUCUGAUUUGCCUCGCUUUGACCUGACUAAACAAGGAUGGUGAUUUUGCAAAACUUUAACAUUUUGUUUGCACUCACUCUGACUUUGCUUUGACCUCGGUUUCAGGCUCACUUGGUCAUUUCUUUGAGCUAGUUAAGUGAGGGUGUUUAAGUCCAAUUCCUUGCUUUUCUUUGUCAAGCUUCGAGACAUGCAUAAAAUACCUACAAAAUGGUUAGAAUUAGGUGUAAAAGGUAGUAAUUGACUAUAAUAAAACUACUAUUUACAUGAUAAUUGGAGUUUUAGCUUGAAAUGCUUUGAAAACAAGUUGAUAAGUGCUUAUAUACGUAAAUUUUCCAUAUUUUGGCACAUAUCAGCUAUUCAAAAUGGGAAUGAAGUGCUUGUGACACCUAAAACUAUUGAGCAACACAUUCUAGAUUAUUUUUAGGGUACUUUUGGUGGAACUAGUACAUGUGUACCUAAUCAUUUAGAUGUGCAUGUUAUUUCAUUCCUUGUAACAGAUAGGAUAACACAUAUUUAACUAGACUCCCGCUUGCUCCCGAGAUUAAGGUUGUGGUUUUUGAUUUAAAUGUAUAUGGGGCAUCGGGUCCAAACAGGCUCUGAUACCAUAUUAACAGUACAUAAACUCAUCAUGAAUGAGAGAAAGAGCUUGUUGUUAUGCACCAAGAAGUUGGUUAUGCAGCAAGAGAAGAAGAUGAAAAACAGUUGCAUUCAAGAAGAAGAAGAAGAAGAAGAAGAAAGAAGAAAGAUUAUUGUUUCAUUGAUUGAUCAAUAAUAAGAUACAAACUGUUUAUAUAUACAAGAGUAAAGAGUAUUGGAAGCUAAUGUGGGACUGCUGUACAUAAUAAUAAGCUGCUAAUUCUAAUAACUUUUAUCAUUUUUUUUGGAAUAUUAUUGAAAGGGAUGUGAUUAUGUCGGUGCAGGAUUACUUUAACACUAGUGUUCUGAUUUCUGCCCUAAAUUCAAAUGUUAUUGUUCUCAUUCCAAAAGUGAAAGGAGCUUCUUCUGUGGGGGAUUUUCGUUUGAUAGCUUUAGGAAAUUUUCAAUUUAAGAUUGUGUCAAAGAUUUUGGCUGAUCGUUACUAUUCCUAUGCUUAUUUUUAUUCAUCAUUGUGGGUUCAUCCGCAAUAGGCAUAUCUCUGAUUGUGUUAUUCUCUCUUUGGAAGCCAUCAACAUGUUAGAUAGAAAGCAGUUUGGGGAAAUUUAGCAUUAAAAGUUGAUAUUCUUAAAGAUUUUGACACGUUGGAUUGGGAUUUUCUCAUGCAUGUGCUUUAUCUCUUUGGUUUUAAUCAACAAUUUUGUAAUUUUAUUUCGACUAUCUUACAUUCGUCUAGGCUUUCCAUUUUGGUAAAUCGUAAAUGGGAAAACAAUUGGAUAUUUUCCAUGCUCUCAUAAGAGGUUCUCAGUCGUGCCAUCACUGUUGCACAUAUGUCUUGUCUUCUUGCCCAUAUGUCUUUCUGCAGGGGUGUAGCUAUUCCCACUCAUAUUUUGUAUGCAUACGAUAUUCUCAUUUUUUGUUUUGGUACUAAGAAGAAUAUAUGUUGUUUGCAACAAAUAUUUGAUAUUUAUUCUAUAGCUUCUGGUCAGGUUAUUAACUAUGAUAACUGUUGCUUGAAAAUGUGUCACAUGUAAAUAUACAUGUAUGUUUUCAAAGUAGAAAGUGAUAAAAAAAAAUAAGGAUAUCAUACCCACAGGGAAUGAAUGUUACUUAGGUUGAUUUUGUAUUAUCUAUCUUCUGAUUUCAAGCAUGAGCAAGGAUAAAAAUUAUAGAUGAAUGUCACAAGUUCAAACGUUCCUUUCUAAACCACAUCUAAAGAGUGCAAAGUAUGAGUGAAAUUAUAUCAGGGAGUGCACGUUGAGCUAAGGUCCAUUAAUGUUAAUAAUGUGAUAAUGUGUUUAAUGAUGUGUAGUGUCGUGCCAUGAAAGGUUAGAGUGAUUAAGAGGUGUAUUUCUACAACAUCAAAACAUGCACUACUAGAGCAAGGAAACAAAUCUCUAAGUCACAAUUAUAACCCUAAAGUACGUCUAUUAUAUUCUGAAAUCUCUUAUAGUUGUAGUUCUUUAUCUCUAAGUGAACUAAUCAAGUGGAUAUCUCUAUCCUACUCUUUUCAACUAUUUUUAUUAUGAAAUCCACUUGUUGUUGGAUCUCUCACAACAACAAGCUUUUAUCGUUUUCUAAGUUGAUCACUCAAAAAAACAAAUUUAUAAACAAAUUAACACAUGAUAAAACAAGGCAUUAAACUACACAUCACUUAACAUGAAACCAUCAUAACAUUAACUUUCCAUUGCUCAACAUACAAAAGGUUUAGCUCAUAUUAAGCUGAGUACAAACUACAGACAUGGUUCUCAUAAGAUACAUUCUUAAACAAAUAUUGAAGAAGAAAUGUAAACCUAAGAGUGACUUGAAAACUCCUUGAAAGGAAUAUUCAGCAAGGGAUGACUCCAGUCGCACCACAACUCAUUAGAUGGUACAAGAAAUGGUGAGAAUAAGAACUCUCCUUUCUCUCCAUUGAACUCACACUUUUGUAUUAUGUAUUGUAUCUUUGGAAUUCGUGAACUCCCUUUUCAAUCACCAGUAGGGUUUAUUUAUAAGCCUUCACUAGGGCUUCUUGUGAUGUCUUGGAUCAUGAGCCAAAAAAAUAAGGAAACCACAUCAAACCCAAUGAUCAAAUCAGUGUUGUCCUCAAAAUUUUAUAUGCAUAGCCUCUAAGUAAUCAGGUGUAAGACCCUAAUUUUGACCCUAAGAUCCCUCAUAGCAUCAUAUCAUUGUUCAGUGCAUUGCCCCAAGGAUCAUAACAUGCUUGGCUCCUUAACCCUAGGGUUGGGACUUGUUUGAGUGUUUUGAGACCACCAAGCAUGCUUGUAUUGAAUAUUAUUGCUUUUCUUAUUUUGAUUACUAACCCAAAGCACAAAAGUAUGUCACUAACUCUUUUUGUUUUGAAGCUCAAGUGAUCAUGUGCUCCCAUGCUCCUAGGAGGCUCCUAAGCCCAAUGAAAUGGCCAAAUGAAGAUGGGGAAAAUCAUGACAAUGGUCCACAAAGCUCCUAAUCAUCAUAUAUGUAUCCCAAGUAUCUCAAUUUUCCAAUUUUAUCAAGAUAACCCAAAGGGCUUGAGGAUUAUUUCCCAAGGAAACCCUAAUUCAACUGUGUCUUGCUCAUGAAGCAACCUCAACCUAUGAUCAAAUUUAAUCAAGGGAAGUGUUUUUCAUUCAUUAUUUUAUGCAUAUAUGAGCCUAUUUAAGGAUCCUCAAUCAUUCAUUCAUCAAGAGUGGAAGUUUGGCCUUGAGAAGUUGACCAGUCAAGUCAUCUAACUAAACUGAGGAUCACUGAGAUAUAAUUUUUGAUGUGUUUGUCAAAUGAAGAUGACCCCAAGAGAAAACAUGUUCUUAAUAACCAUAUGAACAACUUUCAUGUUUAUCAUAAAUCCAUUUGAAACUUGUAAGGUCAUUAAUCAUUUCAAAACAUUAUAGGUCAUUUUGACUGAAACCCUAAUUUUGGGUCAACUUCCCAAUGACCUAACUUCCUUAAUUUUUAUGAUUUUGAGGUGAGACAAAAUGAAUUGGAAAUCUUAAGAUAUAUACUUCAAAUAUUAUGUUGGACAAAAUUUCAUAAUCCUAAAACAAAUACAUGUGAUAAUAUAAAGCAUUAUAGGUCACAUUGGACCUAAGUCAUUGAAUUUGAAAAAGUACCCAGCUUAAAAUGCCCAUAACUUUGUCAUGAAAAAUCCAAAUGAUGCACAAUUUGAGUCUAAAUUGAUAAUAUUGAAAAGAUCUACAACUUUGAUGUUGGAUGUUUUUUUAUUUGAAGCUUUCAUCAUGCAAACAGAGGGGCUUGAAGAGACUUUCUUUUGGUGAAAAUUUUCAAAGGGUGACUUAGACAUGUUUUGUGCCCAAACUUCCACAGCCAGUUUUAAUUAAUUUCCAAAUGCCAAAUGAAUUUUUUCCCAACAUGACUUUUGUUCCUUAUUUCAAGGGCUUUCCAACCAUUACUCACAUUACUUGUUUGGACUUUCCAUGAGUGAGUUUCGAAGAGCUCUUUCUUUAUGUUCAUUUUUGCAUUUCAUGGUGAAACCUAAUGUGCAAACCAUUUCCUCCCAAAUUACACGUCCAAUUCCAUUUCAAUUGAUCUCGGCAUGGUUUAGCACCCAUCAUUGGGCCUCACAUGCGCCUGUACAGGCCCAUGCACCAAAGUUCAAAUUGCCAUGCACACGAGGGAAUCAUGAGCUCAGCCACAUUUCAGCUAUAAAUAAGAGCUCUCUCUCAUUCAUUCAUCAACCUUGUGGAGACCUGAAAUGCUGCAGCACUGAAAUCCUAACCCACACCAAAGGAAUUUUCAGAUUUUUCUCUCAUUUUCAAGCUUGAAAUUCAACAUCAUUAGUUGAUUUUCAAAGCUCAAUUCCUUAACCUAUCAUCUCCAUUACAUCUCCAGAGCAAAAAGGGAUCAAGAUCUUGAAGAAUUCGUGGCCUUAAGAGCUCCAUUUCAGAGGUAGAACUUCAAAAAACUUGGAUCUAGAUCUUGCAAUUCAAUGUAGUUUUCUUUGGUUUGUGUGGUUUUCUGAAGUCCUCACACUUGAGGCAGGCCAAUGGUGGUCUCAAUUUUCCAUUUCGUGCACUUUCAGUUUGAACACCAUGAUCUUCCACCUCACAUUUCUCUCAAAAUAGGAAGGGUGAGGAAGAUCCAUGGAUACAGUGGUGAUGUACAUCACAUGAGCUUCAAUUUGAUGUCCUUGUUUUUCAUUUUCGUUACAAAAUUUCUCUCUGCAAGUGGUGGCCGGAUUCUGGUAGUUCACCGGAGAAGAUGGUGGUUUCCACCACCAUCACCACGUGGUUGCCUUCCCAGCCCUUGGAUUGUCAUGCCACGUUAUAAUCCUGACCAUUCCUUAUGUUUAAUUAUUUUAAUUCAACAUGUCGCGCGUUUGACUUAAGUGUACCAUGCGCCCUUGCAUCUAAUCCAUUCAUCCGCGCCACGUCAUUUGAUGAGGUUGAUCCUGUGGCGCUGGAUUUUCCAUCAUUUAUAUUUUAUAUUUUAUUUUCAAUUAAUUCCUUUUAUUUUCAAAAAUUCAUAAAAAAUUUAUUUGAAGUCACAAAAAUAUGAGACCAAUUCCAUAAUUUUUCUUAAAAAAUUUAGUUUCAUAUUUUGAUUUUUAAUUAUUUUUGUGACUUCAUUUAAUAUUUUUUGUGAAUUAUUUGGUUUUUAAUAAUUUUAAUUCAUUUUAAAAUGCUUUCUGAUAUUUGAAAAAUCCAAAAAUAUUUUCCUAAUACCUAUGGAUCAUGAUAAGUCAAUGAAAAAUAGUCUCAUCAAUUUCUUAUUUGAUUUGAGAUUUUAAUUCAUAUUAUGUUAUUUUUUAUUGUUUUUAAUUGUUUUAAAAUAGUUUCUGAUUUCCAAAAUUGUUGAGAAAAUUAGUCAAAGUUUAUUUGACCAUGUUAGACCUAUGAGAAUUUAAUUGGACUUGUUGAAGUUGAUUUGAAUUAAAUUUGAGGUUUGACCUUAUUUUUGACCAUGUUAGACCUAUGAGAAUUUAAUUGGACUUGUUGAAGUUGAUUUGAAUUAAAUUUGAGGUUUGACCUUAUUUGGAUUAUUUUUAUUUGCAUUUUAUUUUAAUUCAAAAAAUACCAAAAAAAAUAUGGUUGACUUGUUGAUUUGUAAUCUUCAUUUCUUUUUUGUUUGGCAUUGGUUGAUGAUGACUUGGUUCACAUUUGAUCAAUUGAAUUUGGUACUUGUCUUCCUUUUCCCUCCCUUUCAUCUUCAUCCCAUUUCUUUUCAUCAUUUGGCCAAUGAGUUAAUGUCUUAUGGUUGGUCUUGACAAAUGAGAAGUUUAACCUUCUUUGAUCCAAACCAAACUCAACUUGAUCCAUGAUCAAGUGAGUUGUUUUGUGUCCAAGAUAGGUUGCUUCUUGGUCAAACAAAUAACCUAAAGUCCAUACAAGGUCUUUCCUCUUUUGUUUUGGCAUGGCAAGUUUGUGGAACUUGGCUUACUAGUCAUGAUCUCUAACUUGUGUUUAUUUGCCUAUAUUUUUAUUGAUCGGCCUCAGAUAGGUGUGACUACUACAUUAGUCCACUUACAAUUGCUUAACAUGGCGCUACAUUGUCUCAUGACAAACUAACAUAACCAUACUAAUCACUAACUUUAAUUUGAGCAUUUAAUUUUUUGCCCUUUACUUUUAAUGCAAUUUAUUUCUUGCUCAUUAUUCAUAUUGCUUUUCCCUUUGCUCAAUUGAGCCCAUAUUUUAUGUUUAUGUCAUUUUUCUUUUGCUCCUUUGAGCUCAUUAUUGUAUAUAAAUAUAUUGCUAUCUUGUGUUUGUUUUGCCUUUGUUUUAUGUGAACCUAAUGCAAAAAGGAGAAAGGACUUAGAAUUAGGACUUACCUAUGCUUAAAGGAGUUCAAGAGCAACUAUGUCUCAUGCCUUUAGAAUGCUAAAUUUGUUGAAGAGCAACUAGGCCUCAUGCCUUUAGAAUGCUAAAUUUCCAAGUUGACUUUAAAGUACUUCUCAUCUAAACCUAUUCUUUGUCCAUUCCCCUUAUUGUGUUGUGAACCUUUUGAUGUUUGCUUUUGUGUGAUAGGGAUCCCAUCUUGAGAUUGUGAAAGAAGGACCAUUGUCAUGAAUAGCCAAGUUAAGAGACAAGCCAAAUGGAGAUCCUAGGAGCUUGAAUCCAACAUUGUUUGAUUGCUUGAUUGUUUGCUAAGUCCAAAGGAAAUGAGCAUCUUGAAUCAUCUCUAUGAUUUCAAGAAAAGGAACUCCAAUGGUUUAUCUUCUCCCUCUUAUCUUUUUAUGCUUUAGGACUAACCAUUCUCUUCUUCUCCCCACUCUAACCCAAGCCUAAAUCAUUUUCAAUACUUUGACUUUGUUUCAAACUAGAAACCUAGGCCUUAUGCCUUUGACUUUUCAAAACCAUUUUCAUUAAUACUCAUUGUGAAUAAACUUUAAUCCAACUUUGAUCUCAUUUUGUAAAUAAAUUUAACUUGUAAAUAUAACCCAUUUUCAAGUUGUUUUGUGGUUCCAAUGGCCACUUGUUUCAUCUUUUCAAAAACAUUAGUCAUAGGUUUGAGUUAUCAUAGUGGUUGAUGUAAAUCUCACCUCAUCCUUAGUGUUGGAUUAUAAGUCUCCCAUGCUUAUUAUAUGGUUAACCCCUCACUAGCAUGUUGAAGCCUUCCUCACAUGGUGGAUUGUUGGUUUAGGUUGAGUUUUCUCUCUUUGAUAACAAAACACCUUAAGGCUUUUGAUCAAAAUCAAUUCACCAAUCUUUGAGAUUUUUACCCUGAACUACGAGAUUUUGAUCCUACCUUUGUGAUGGUACGUAGGCAAUGGGUUCGUCCAUUCAAACAACAAAAUUUGUAAAUAUAAUCUAUUCUCUUCUCAUCCCUCCGAUAUUUUGCACAAAUCUUUUCACAAAUACCAACCUAUAACACAUAUUUGUAAAAAGGAUUCCCUUAGAGUACUAAGGAUGUUUUGGAUGCGUAAAACCUUCCCACUUCAUAACCAACCCCCUUACCCAGAUCUCUGACAUUUUUAUUAGUUUUUGAUUUGAAAAACUUCUUACCUUGGCUUUUGUUCGCUUUUUAGCCUUUCCUUUGGAUAAAUAAAAGUGCGGUGGCGACUUUUGAUUUGAAAAACUUCUUACCUUGGCUUUUGUUCGCUUUUUAGCCUUUCCUUUGGAUAAAUAAAAGUGCGGUGGCGACUCGAAUUGUAUGUUUACUUUUGGUUUAGUCAAUAAACCUAAAGGUAACGAAAACCCCGCUACAUCAGGUAUAAGGGGACAUUUGUGGGAGACAAAGCGUCUGGUGGCAGACUGUUGUAACAAGGCGCAGACGACGCUGUCCAUUUUGGAAGAUGGUGCAGAGUAGUGGUUGUACAAUUGUACUACUAUUGUCUUCUAGUGCCUCUUAGUCUUAUCCACAUAUUCAAAUGAAUUUCCUUAAGUCCAAGCACAAUUACCCUAGUAUUAUGCUCCUAUCAAGAUUUUCCCUAGGACUUAGGUGCUUCCUUCACAUUAUCUCUUGGUUAGAGCUUAUCUUUUUACUUCAGCUAGUGCUCCCAGGUGCUGUCUAGCACAGUCUUUCCUUAGCUUAUCAGACACAGCCUAAAUUCAAGCAACAAAAACAUUAAACCAACAAAAGGGAGCAUCUAUUAUACUCCAAGUUAAUUGCUACAAAAUAACUAAAAUGAACUGAAAGUAACAACUUAGGAGCAAUAAAACUAACGAUAAUGUAGAACCAAAGUAUGCAAAUACUCACUAAAGGUGAGUUAUCAAUAAGAGUAAGUUCUUUUAUGGUUCCAUCACUCGUUAUUGAGUUCACAAAAUUUCUAACAUGUUGGGUUUUAGUGAGGGAUCCAUUUCAUUUACUUAUUUAGGUUGUCCUAUUUUCAAAGGGAAGCGUAAAUUCUCCUAUUUUUGGGAAAUUACAGAUAUUUUCAAGGUGAAGUUAACUUCUUGAAAAGGAUCAUUGCUUACUACUAUGGGUCAUAUUCAACUUAUUAAAUCCAUUAUCCAUAGUACAUUGGUGUAUUCUUUCAAUUUUUAUAGAUAGCCCAAUAAACUUUUGAAGACUCUAGAUCGUUGGAUAAAUAUUUUCCUUUAGAGUGGCGAUAUUUAAACUAAGAAAGUGUGUACAGUUGCUUGGGUGAUUGUCUACCUCCCUUGGGAUUCAGGUGGCUUGAAUAUGAAGUCAACAAGGGAGUUUAAUGAAAGUCUCAUUUUACUCUUGAGCUGGAAUUGUUUUUCUGGUGAGUCACAAUGGUCUAAUAUGUUUAAGCUUAGAUAUUUCUCCCAUGGUCGACAUAAGCAUCAUUAUUUAUAAUCCUCAACCUGGAUAGGUAUUAGAGAUCACUUGGAUUUUGUCAUUUGUAAUUCAGUUUGGAUUAUUUGCAAGGGGAACAUAUUAAUUUUUGGCUUGGUGCUCUUUUAGAAGACUUAUUAGCGCUCUCAGUCAGUGCAUUUGAUUCUCAAAGGCUUCUCUUCCAUCAUUAGGGAAGAUCGUCUAGAUUUUCCUAUUGAUGUUAUUAGAAGUACAAAGGUUACAUCUCGACUACCUAGUAUUAUUUUUGUCUGUUUCCCCUCUCCCGGAUAAACUUGUUUGGUCUCACUCAUCUGACGGUAUGUUAACUGUGAAUCAAGCUUAUCAUUUCUUUCAUCCCCCAUCUUUGACUAUUGAUUGGUUCACUAUUAUCCGGCGUCCUUGUAUUCCUAUGUUUCAAUCUUUUAUCUUUUGGAGGAUUAUGCAUAGAAAAAUUCCUACGGAUGAGAACCUUCGCAUUCGAGGUUGUACGACUGUGUCCAUUUGCAUUUUAUGUAUGGUUGCGUUCAAAACACCGACUCAACUUUUCCUCGAGUGUUCAUUUGUUGUAGAUCUUUGGAAGUGGUUGGCGGGAGGCUUCAUAUUUUCAUUGAUUUGUCAAAUUUUGUUCCUACUUUAUCUUUCAUCCCCUAUCGGUGUAAUUCGUAAGUUAGAGAUGUCAUUGUUGCAGGUCUCAUUCAUACUUUUCAUACUAUUUAGAUGGCUCGCAAUUUUAUUCGCUUUCAAGAUGCAAAAAUUUAUAUUCAUGUUGCUAGAGAAAAAAUUGUUAUAGCGGUAUCCUGAAUGGUAGCUAUUCAAAUGGUCAUUGUCUUUCCAUUCCAUCGGACAUUGGUAUUCUAAAUAAAAAAAUUUAUUUCUUCGCAACAUAGGAGAUUAAAAAACAUUGUGAUAGUUAUUUGGCAACCUCCUACAACCUCUUAGGUUAAGAUUAACAUUUAUGGUUCGAUAGUGGGUUUACAUGCACCCCGUGGUGGCAUAUUCAGAUAUCAGAGUGGGGCAUUCCUUAGUGGGUUCUCUUCCAACCUCAGACAUUAUUCUAUUUUUGAAUGUCAGCUACAAUGCCUUAUGUUGGCUAUGGAAUUGGUUGCGUAACAUAGAUGGACUAGUAUUUGGAUUGAAGGUGACUCUAAUACUGUUAUUUUAGCUUUUAAGAAGCCUUUGAUUGUGCAUUAUAGAUUUCACAAUCAUUGGCAUUAUUGUUUUUAUCUUGGGUUAUAGGUGAUAUCAUCGCAUAUUUUCAUAAAGGGUAACUGUUGUGCAGAUAAGCUGAUUAAUCAUGGUCACUCUGUUCAUAACACUGUUUAGUGGGAAUCUCUUCCCAGUUUCAUUAGAGAGUAUUUCUUUAGGGACCGCUUCAGUUUACCUAAUUUCUUGUUUCCCUUAGUUUGCCUUUGAGGAUUCGUUUUUGCUUCUCUUUGAGAGUUUUAGAUUGGUCCCCCUCUUGUACAUAUAUUUUUCUUUUUUUAGGGGUUAAAUAUGUUUGUGGUCUUCCUAAAUAUCUCAAAUUUCAUUUUUAGUCUCUCAAAAUAUUUUCUUCAAGGAAUGGUCCUCCUAAAAAUUUGCAUCCACACUUUUGAUCCAUAGUACUAAAAUCAUCGCUAAAAUUGUCGUUAAUUUAGUCGCUAAGUAAUAAAACGUCGCUAAAACCAUCGUUAAUUUUGUCGCUAAGUUGUAAAAAUCGUCGCUAAGUUGCAGGAGAGACCAAAGUCAUGAAUGAAAAGUUUUAGAAAGAUCAUUCUUUAAAGAAAAUAUUUUGAGUGAUUAAAAACGAAAGUUAAAAUAUUUAAGAGUACCAGAAAUAUAUUUAAUCAUUUUUUGAUAAUAUUUUGAAUGUAUGGAUUAAGAUAGAGGUUUUCUAGAAAUACCGACAUAAUUGAGAUGUAUGCAUAUCUCUUGAUAUUCGUAUGACUCUGGCUAAGAAAAUCUUAAUAUUAUAUUUAUAAAUUUUUAAUAAUUAUUGUCACUUUGUAGAUUGAUUAAAGUAUAGAUAAAAAUGAAGACUCAAAGAAUUUGUCAAUGGUGGAAUUUGUUUUUGACUACAUGCAAUGAACGUUAAUAAAUACAUUAAGAUUUUGUAAUUUCAAUAAAAGAUGGUCCCAAGAUUAGAUGGUUCCAAUUUUAAUAUCAGUAUUUUUAAUUUUUUAAAGAAAACUCUACAUUAAAAUUUUGACAUUGAUCAGUGUUAUGUAUUUGAGCUACUUUUUUCAAUGUAAUAUGAUUAAAAUUAUUAUUUGACCCCAAAUUAUAAAUAUUAUUAAAAAAAAUGUUCUCCAAUCAUUCAAAUUUUUUAAUUUAAAUAUAAAAAGAUAUACUAUAUAAAUUAUCUCAUCAAAUAAAAAUAAAAGAAUAUGUUAGUUGUUAAAUAAUAAAACUAUAAAGAAAAAACAGAGUUCAAAAGACAAUUUCUUAAAUAAAGUUGUUUUUGACACCUAAAAACGUAAAUUCGUAUGUAUUCAUCAUAUGAGACUCAUUUCCAAUAUAACCCUAUUUACCACACAACUGUAUGUGUUUUGAUUCUCUUCAAUGAAGCAUUGUGCCACUCUUCAGUGACGUGUCAUCCGCGUCUUUUGUCUAAAAUUCUGGUCCAAAUUAUCAAAUUUUAAAUCUAAAACUUCUAAAACAUAUAUAAAUUUAUAAAAUAUAUAUAUUGAAAUAGAGGAACCCCGAAAGACCCUCGGCAACUUCUUUUUUUCAAUAUUAUGUAUUACGGGAUUAUCAAACAACUCAAUAAAAUUGAACUUUGAUAAUUUAAUUCAUAAUUUCUCCGAUUUAAAGAAGAUAAAUAAGAAAACUCUCUUAAAGAGGUUGAUGUCGCAUCUCGAAAAACACGAUCUCGCAAGCGUUCACACGUUUGUGAAAAUGAUUGAAUAGAGUGGCCACUAAUUUUUAUUUAUUUCAAAUAAGAAAAGAGAAAAUAUCAAUAAAACUCUUAAAAGAAAAAAAAAA